RNAcentral lists this long non-coding RNA (52600 nucleotides) under Citrus maxima (pomelo). Its description in RNAcentral is "long non-coding RNA (CMAX_LNC003350)". The record is from RNAcentral. Lineage: Eukaryota; Viridiplantae; Streptophyta; Magnoliopsida; Sapindales; Rutaceae.
UUCAGUCAUAGUUCAAGGUAUACAUUUAUAAAAAAAAAAAAAAAGCACAAUAAACAUCGAUUAUUUUCAUGAAAAUAGCCACAUAUAACCAACAGUAAGGUUACUUAUUAUUUUAAAUAUUAUUUCGUGAAACAGCUGCAGCUACAUAGCUGACCAACACAACAGUAGCUUGUUAUUUCCAAACACAAGAGGAAUAAACACCCAAAAGCAGCAAAAGGCAUGAAUGCAGCUUCUUCAAGUUGAGUAACUAUAGCUAGCAAUUGAAGAAGCAGAAGCAGGCAAAACCAAGGCCAUCUCUGUGGCAAGCACCGCUACUUGCACCCUCGCGUUCUCGGCACUGUUUAUCACAGUCUUCUGUUACGAAGCACGGGCCAGUCCAAGUCUUACUACGCCGCUCGCAUAGUGCAGCCUCUGCCGGCUUUGCCAUUUCUGUAAUACACAACACUUACACAAAAUGAUUAAUUUCUAGUUAAUUAAAUUUUAUAAUGCAUGCGUGCUUGCACAAACUUAUCAUCAUGAAGUACACAUCAAUGUCACACACCGAACGAAGCGAAGAUGAUGAAGAAUGCAAAAAGAAGAGCAAAAGUCAUUGUAAAGCCAGAAACAGAUUUAGCCAUUUUAAUUUUUAUUUGUUGCACUUGCUGAACUGGUUUAUUAUUUCAUGAAAAUGGUAAGUGACCGUAGCCCCAAUUUAUACACUUGCAAUGUAAGCUAUCCCUUCCCUUUUUGAGAAAGUUUCGAUGAAAUUUUUAGACCUUACUAGUUUUUUAAUAUAUCGAUAAAGUGCAAGGUUUAAUUGUUGUUUUGUAACCAUCUCCCACGUUGGGAAUAUGUAAACAACAAAUAUAUCAGUACCAACAAAGACAGAUAAAUAUUUUCAGCCGAUGUGGCAAACAAGGUUGUGAGGCCAAAAUAAAAUAUUUACAAAGUAAUGAGGUAAAAAUGUAAAAUUUAAAAAUAGUUAAAUUUUAUAAUUUUAUAAUUAUUUUCAAAUCUUUUUCUUUUACGUUGCUUUCUAAAAAAUUUCAAAAAGUAAGCCGGGGGUUACCUUGAUUUUUUUUUUUUUUUGGUUUUUUUAACUUUAAAAUUUCAAAGAUAAGUUAGGGUUGCCUUGAAAGCCUUUGCUAUAGGUUGCAUUACUUUUGAAAAUUUUUCAAAAAGUCAGGGGUCACCUUGCGCAAACGCUCUUCCGCUUCUAUAUUUAUAUUAAUCUCGAACUUACUUCAAUAUAUAUCUAGUUUCCCUAUCAAGUGAUAACAUAACAUCACUGCUAGAAUAAUCCUAAACUUUCUUAUUGUUGGGUGUGGGUACAUAGAGAUACAUCAACAAUGGUACAAUGAAACUUCAUCGGGGCCAGACCAAUAACUUAAUUAUAUCUAGGAUGUAAUGGGAGGGGAAAAAAAUUCGAUCCUACACAAAUAAUUUUGGGAAAAGGACACAAGGACCCCCGACGUUUGAGUAAGGGACACAAAACUCCCUAAGGUUUUAAAAAAGAUACGCAGACCCCAAUUAAUUAACGAAAAUCGUUUCGUUAAAUCACUACAAGGUUAAUACCGUAAUUACAAAUUAAAAACAAGUGAAUUGACUAAAAACCCACACACACAUCACACGGACAAACAAACCCCACACACACUGAUUCCAGACAAAUCUUUUAACACACACUCACGGUUUGCCUUGCCGAAAGCUGCUGGGGUUGCCGGAAGUUGCUGGAACUGGUCACGCUACUGGAAGCUACUGGAUCUGCUCGUGCGUCGAUCGAGACUGUGUCUGGUUGCCGGAUCUGCUCGCGAUCAACGUUUGGCUGCUGGUUGUGCUGUUGGAACUGCUGGAAUCUCGCGUUUGGCUGUUGGAACUGCUCGUGUUUGGUUGCUGCUCUUGCUUGUGGAAUCUCGCGUUUGGCUGCUGCUUGUGCUCGCGUUUGGUUGCUGAUCCUGCCUGUUGAAUCUCACGUUUGGCUGCUGCUCUUGCUUGUGGAAUCUCGCGUUUGGCUGCUGCUUGUGCUCGCUUUUGGUUGCUGCUCUUGCUUGUGGAAUCCAGGGUUCAAUUCUCUUAAGUCCUAUUUUUUCUCUUUAAUUUUCAUUUUUUUUACUAAAUUAACUUCUCUAGCAUGUUUGAUGCAUAUGUGAUGUAUGUGCAAGAAUAUAAAUAAAUGAUUACGAGAAUUUUUUUUUUUUUUGUUUAUGGUUGUUUGAUGAACAGAGUUCUUAAUUUGUCUGAUUUAUUGGAGAUUUCUUGCUAAUUACUUUUGUUAUUUCUUUUCUUUAUCAAUUUUUAGAUGUGCAUGCAAUUUUCUUUAUCAAAUUUAUUUUGUUAUAUCUAACCAGUUGGGCUAGAAUUCUACCUAGGUGAGAUAUUAUGCAUUUUUUUUAAUGGUCCUGGAGCAUGUGAAUUUUGUGCUUAAUUUAUUAAUGAAAAGAAUGUAUUGGUUUGCAGAUGGUUGAUCAGCCAUCCCAAAACCUGAAUACUCACUCACUUUAUUCUUUUGAACAAGAAGAUGAUGAAGCAUAUUGGUCAAAUGAUGACAAUGAAGACAUAACACCUGCUGAUGAUGAAAUAGGAUUAAAUUGGGAUGAUGAGGGAGUGGAUGUUGGGCAUAGUGAAGGUUGUGAAGAAGUGGAUUAUAAAGAUAGUGAAGAAGAAGAUAGAAUUCUUUCUAAUUGUGAGUCAGAUGAUAGAGAGCAUGGCCUGCUUUCUGAUUCUGAAGAUGAGCAAUCAUUUCAUUGUUCAAAAUCUAACCCCAAUGAAAUGAUUGAAAUCAGUGUUCGGCAGGAGUUCGACAAUGUCCAACAUUUCAGAAGAGUACUUGAAAACUACGUUAUUAAGAAUGGGUUUGAUCUUAAUAGAAUUAAGAAUGAGAAGAGAAGGUUCAGGGCAAAGUGUUCCAAUGAGGGCUGUCCGUGGUUUAUUUAUGCAGCACUAGUAGAAUCUGGGACAAAAUUCAGAAUUCAGAAGCUGAAUAAUGUACAUGAAUGUAAUGGAGUGUUAGAGAGCAAAGAGGCAUCAUAUAAAUGGAUUGCCUCUCAGUUUGAGGGAACUUUGAAGAACAACCCAAAAAUGCCAGUAAAGGGAAUGAAAGAUGAAUUGGUUUCUAAUUUAGGGAUUAAGGCAAGCAUGAAGAAAAUGUAUAGGGCCAAGAAAAGAGCAAUGGAUAAAUUAAAUGGGAACUAUGCAAAUUCUUAUCAGAGGCUAAGGGAUUAUGCCCAAAUACUCAAACAAAGCAAUCCCAAUACGUUAGUAAAGAUGAAAUUUGUGCCUAGUUUUGAUCAAGAUAGAAGACCAGCUUUGAAGUUUCAGAGAUUUAUGCUUAGCUUUGUUGCUUUGAAGAAUGGAUUCAUUAAUGGAUGUCGAUGGUUUAUUGGAUUGGAUGGUUGUCAUUUAAAGGGGCAUUUCAGAGGUGUACUAUUAUCAGCAGUGGCAUUAGAUGCAAACAAUGGAAUUUUUUCGAUUGCCGUUUGUAUUUGUGAAUCAGAAUGUGCUGAUAGUUGGAAAUGGUUUUUGGCAAUAUUGAGUGAGUGGUUGAACAUAGAGAAUCAAAGUCGAGUAACGUUUAGGACAGAUAGGCAAAAAGGAAUAUUACUAGGUUUGGAAGCAUAUUGGCAUGGUGCAACAGUGAGGCAUUGUGCCAGACAUAUAUUUGCUAACUUAAGAAGUAAUCAUCCUGAUAUCAUCUACAGAAACCUAUUUUGGACAGCAGCAAGAGCCACUAGUGAAAAAGAAUGGGAAGACAACAUGAACAAAAUAAAAACAGCUAAAAAAGACACGCAAGCUGCUUAUGAUUAUUUGAUUAAGAUUGACAAGAAACAGUGGGCUAGACAUGCAUUUUCCUGAUGAUGUAAAAGUUGAUCAUGUAACUAACAACUUAAAUGAGUCAUGGAACAGCUGGUUAAAUGAAUACAAAAGACAACCCUGUGUUGACACUUAUGGAAUUCAUUCGGAAGAAAGUUAUGAAAAGACUGUAUAAAAGGCAUUCUGAUGCAAGAAAAUGGAUUGGGAAGCUACCUCCAACUGUGAGGAGAAAGUUGAAUGUUUCCAGACAAGAAGGAAGAUAUGUAAGGGUGCUUAUGGCUAGUGAGUAUGAAUUUGAGGUAAUAGAUGAGAAUAAUAAAACAUUUAUAGUUAAUAUGCAGAAUAAAACUUGUGAUUGUGGUGUUUAUCAAAUUUGUGGGAUACCAUGUAAACAUAUCAUCCCAUGUAUUGCUUUAAGACAUGAAGAUGCUGCUGAUUAUGUGGAUAAAAAACUGACAGUGGAAGCAUAUUUGGCCACAUAUGCAAAUAUCAUACAUCCACUUCCAUAUCAAAGUACAUGGGCUGUUGUUGAAGGUCUAAAAGUCUUAUCUCCAUAUGUCAAAACAAGAGUUGGUAGGCCUAAAAUAGUGAGGAAAAGAGAGCCAGGGGAAGAACAAGGGAAAAGAAAGACCAAGCAAAAAUGUAGCUGUUGUGCAAUUUUCGGCCAUAAUAAAAGAUUAUAUAAAAGACCAAUUGAUUCCACUCAACACCCCUCAGGUAAGCCUAAAUUUCUUUUUUUUUUUAUUUUACUUUUUUAUAUAAAAAUAAAAUUUAUAUAUUAAUAUUUAUACAUUUAUCGUGCAGGAACAACCACACAAGAUAUGAGAUGAAGCUCACAAGCUAGUAAUCAGAGUUGUUAUACCAAUUUGUGAACAGAUUAUGUUUUUUUUUCAAAAAAUAUUAUGGUUAUUGUUGUAAUGUUUACCAGUACUAAUUUGAUACAAUAUUAUAAUACAAUUAUUUUUUGUUAUGUUUACUGGAUUGAUGGUUUUAAUGUCUAUUGGAUAUGUUAUUUAGUACAAUUAAGAUUUUGUAAUUAUUGUUGUAAAUAAUUUUUUUUUUAAUUUUGUUGAUUAUAUAAGUUUAAAUGAUUGACAUAUGGAGAAUUGUUAUUUUUAUUAUAUUAAUAAUCAAUUUAAUUUAUUUUUAUUCUUGAGCAAUGAAUUAAAUUUAUUUAGUUUGAAGAGAAAAAUUAACAAAAAUUAAAUGGAAAAAUUGGGUAAUGAAGUUAUAUUCGUAAUUAUAUUAAUAAUAUAGGGAUAAAUUGGACAAUGAACAAUUAGUUUUUAAUAUGCUAUAAGGGUAUAAUGGUAAUUGUACUUUAAAAUUAUAAUUUCACUCAAAAGAAACGGUUUCCGUUAACUAAUGGGGGUCUGAGUGUCUUUUUUGAAACAUGAGGGGGUUUUAUGUCCCUUAUUCAAACGUUGGGGGUCUCUGUGUCCUUUUCCCAAUAAUUUAUCAUCAUGUGUUAAGUGACGAUUGACUUUAUUAAUUAUUGGUACAAAAUUAAUAUGCCAAGCACAAAUGAUCAACUGAGAUACAAAAUCUUGGUUCUCCACUGCGUGUGUAUAUUAUACCAUGUAAUGUUGUUAUCACCACCCAAAACUCUCUCCGAAUUAAGUAGGUAUAGGCGCUAAUUCAUCACAAGAUUAUUACUGCACUCGCAUGAAGUGAAAAUAGAUUUGUUGGAUAUCCCUUAUUCAUAUUUUUUUCUCAUUAGUCAUAAUUGUCCCAUAGACAAUAACAAAUGUAGGAUUUUAAAAUGAAUAAAAAAGUUCUUUUCAAUAAUCUCAUAUUUACAAAUUAUAUUUUCUUUUAGUGUUUCCAAAAAGAGGAACAUGUAAAAAAUAUAUAUUAGCUUGUUAUACGACUCUUUUUGGUCAAGUGAUAGUGCUUCAGGUAAUUUUUAUAAAUAAAAUUAAGUUUUGUUUCAAAUAAGCACUCCCCCCCUAAAAAAAAAAAGAAGGGGAGAAGGCAAAACCCAGAUUGAUUUCUUAGCGUUACUUUUCUCAAAAUCCAGACUCAAGUGGUCGGGCAAAGAAAUUUGCGUAAAAACCACUCGGUCAAGACCUUUGGCCUCAUUGAGUACUCAUUGAUGGCGAUAUAAUUAAUUAAUUCUAAUGUGACCAACUCAUUUGCACGUGAGAGAAAAUGAAUGUUAAUUAUACUUCACCAGCAACUAUAUCCAAUUUUGUUAUUUUAUAUUAUUAAGUCUCAAGAUGGUUAUGUUUCAUACACAUUUAACUAAUUAAGAACAUAAUAAAUACUUAUAUGGAAUAAAUAAUUUUUCAUAAUAGUACAUGAAUGUUCAUUCCUGGUGCUUGCGUAUCAUAGUAAUAUAAAUAGCGUGAAGAGAUGGAGUAAUAACUUAUAAUUAGAUUUGUAGAGUGUGGCUCAUUAUAUUAGAAUAACACAAACAAGCAAUACAACAAAGACGCAACAAACAUUGACUCGUUCCUUAUUCAGAAGCUACGUACGGUAUAGUUAUGGCUAACCGUACACUGUACGUAGCUUGUUAUUGUUCUAAACACAAGACGACUGAAACGAGACACAUCACACGAACGACAGCAAAUAAUUAAGGUAGCCACAGCUAGCUUUCGCUGCUAACGAUGGAUAUAAUUUCUUUCAUUGAUAAGCAACUAGCACUCGAAGUAACAGAAGCACGCAUAACCAGUUCCUUGUCUGUAGCAAGCCCCGUACCUUGCAUCCUCCUGCUGCUUGCAGUGCCUGCUACAUUUCCCCGUGUUGAGACACGGCCCCGACCAUGUCUUGCUACGCCGCUGGCACACUUUUGCUUCCGCCAUUGGCACUUCUGUAACAAGCAUAACAAAUCAUUAACGUGCACUUAGAUAUAUAAGUUAUUAUCAAAGCUCAUGGGUGUCAACAAAUUCAGGUGGUAAAAAUGAUCUCUUAGGUUGAAACAAGAAGUCUGAGGUUUAAACUCUGCUUACAUGAAUGGAAGAGUGCUUUAUAUUACAAUAUACCAGUAUACAAACACACACACACACACACUAAAAUCUGAAAUAAAAAAAAAAUUGUUAUGAAAGUUUAAUAUGCAUUUCUGUAACACAUACACAGCAUAUUUAAUGCACUCAGUUAGCUAAUAUUAGUUAGGCACGUGGGCUUAUGAAUGGUAUUUAGUGUCAGACUCAUGCGCAAGUAUGCCCUCAUCGCUUAAGAGCAGUUAUUCAAGAAAACUUCAACUAUAAACUAACUUUUUGAGUAUGAGUUAGGCUCAAGUCUUUUUGAAACUGCACAACUUAAUAUCAUAGGCAAAACUUAAAAUUAAAUUUUGAUUGCUGAAAAACUAUUAAGUACUGGUUAAAUCAAGUCACUCACCGAAGGAAGCAAAGAGUAUGAAGAACGCAAAAAUAAGAGCAAAAGCUGUGGUAAUGCUAGCAACUGACUUAGCCAUUUUUGCACUUGCUUUGGUUUUAAUUUGAUGAAAUUGCUGAAGGCCCCAACCCCUAUUUAUACUUGGAUAUAAGCUGUCUCUUCGUCUCUAGCCAAGAUCCGCGAGAGACAAAGAAACAAUAAAUUAAUUAACCGGGGAAAUUUGAAUUAGACACUAAAAAAUGAAUUCACGCUCGGAUUAUUGACAAAAAAUUUUACAGUUUAUGCAAAUAAUUGUGAAUUAGAAUGACGUCCUGCCAAUUGCUAUAUUAUAUGCACUCUGAAGUAGUCUUAGGUAGUUGAAAUCUUCAAAUUUAAAUAUAAUACGCAAUGCGAACUUCAAUGACCCAUUCUUCCCCAUAACCUUGUCAUUGACAAAAGAUUUUACAGUUUAUUCAGAUAAUUGUGAAUUGAAAUAGUGUCCUGCCAAGUGCUCUAUUUCAUUAUUUCAUAUGCACUCUGAAGUAGUCUUAGUUAAAAUCUUAAAAUUUAAAUAUCAUAUUCAAUGCCCGACUUCAAUGACCCAUUCUUCCCUAUAACCUUGUUAAACCACCCUAUCGGAUUCUGUAUAUUCUAUUUAUUGUGUGGUUAAUUGUUCUUAUCAAUCGGAUCUAUGACAUACAGCGCUUCAUCUACGUAGCAAAAUGAUGGUGCAAGUAUAAUUUUCUAUUGCUAUAAACAGAAAAUUAAACGUUUUAUUCAUACUAUUACUUUUAUAAGUUUUAUGUAAACUUUUAAAGACCACAUUGAAAAGAUAAAUUCACUCUUGUUAUCAUUCAAUUUAGCUUAAGGUCAAUUUAUACCAGAAUAUUGAGAAGAUAGAAAGAACUUAAACAAUCAUACUAAAUAGAGGAUUUCUUCCAUAUUUUUAAUACUAUAAUGUCGAUGAUACGUACUAUUUUUACAUUCAAUGAUGAAAAUGAUUUUGGCUCAUAUUAGUCUUAAUAAAGAAGAAUUAAUAUUUAGGAUCAUAAAGUGAUCCCUUUUUUAUGAAAUUCUUAUUUAUUUCUGACAAAAAAUCUUAAAGAUAACAAGACAACUGAAGAGAAAAUUCCUCCAAACAUACAUAAAAACCAUGACAACAAAAAUGAAAAUGAGCCAAAGCAUUUCUUGAUUACAAAUUCUUGGGACAUAACAGAUUCGAAAAUCUUACUUUGAUACAGGUAAGUGUUAGAGAUUAGAAAUAAUAUGAAACAACUAUGUAUGAGUAUGAUGGAUACCCUAAAUCAGCUAAACAACGCACAACAUAGUCAUCCUAAUCUUAUUAAAGGGAUGUAUCUUCGACAACUUAUUUGAUCUCUUAUGCUGUGGGGGCCAAAUUCAUUUAUGUGGGGGAAAUUUGUGAACUAUGACCUUCAAAUUCUUGUACGUGUAAGGUAAGAACUCUCGUCUAAAAGCCUUGUUUUAUUAGGUGAUUAUUGACAUAGACAAAUAACAUAUAGCAAUUGAUUAGUGAUUACGACAAUGUUGAUGCGUAAUCAAAUAGAAUAUUUAUGAUUUUUUUAUGCUCAUCGGAUGUUAAUAAGAUAAGAAUCGCGAUGAAAAGUUCAUCAAUGUAUAUGGUACGCAUGUUGAUAGAGGACAAAAACAUUGUUUGAAAUUAAUAUUUUUUUGGGUUUAAAGGUAUUGGACUUUUCUUCUUUGACUAUGGAUAGUAGUUUUUUUUGGAAUCAAAUACAGUAUGAUUAUUUGAACAUAUUAAAAUACUCAAUAAACAUGUUUACUAAAAUACUCUUAUUAAAGAUUUCUCUCAUUGUUUCUUUUUCAACCCUCCAUCCACUCUUAAUUCUCUCCCAUCUUUUAUCUGCCAGUAUUGUCUUAUCUAGAAUAGAAAUUUAGGCUAUGGACAUCUAGUAAUAAAAAUUUAAAAACUUAAAUAAAAAAUGAAAAAAUGAGUCUAAUGAGCAAUUUUAUGGGUUCAAAUAAUUAAUUCCGCCUACUCAAGUGCCAGUAUUGUCCUAUCUAUAAUAUAAAUUUAGGCUAUGGACAUUCUAGUAAUAAAAAUUUAAAAACUUAAAUAAAAAAUGAGUCUAAUGAGUAAUUUUAUGGGUUCAAAUAAUUAAUUCCUUCUACUCAAGUAUUAUUCUUUUAUUUCUGGAUAAUAGUAACAAAGUACGAUUUCAAAGAUAACAAUUCAGAUGGGUAGGAAAGUCUUCCAAUAAAUAUUAGAUAUUUAAAUUAGUAGUUUGAAGAUAAAAUACUAGUAGGAUCAUUGGAGCGGGGACAUGACUGGAUUAGCAACAAUGUUUUUUUAAAAGGUAGAGAAUGUGGGUAAAAAUUAAAAUGCUUUUUUUAAUAUUUAACAUCAAUUAAAUAAGACUUCUUAAAAAAGUAGUUGGCUAGAUCCUGGAGGUGAUUACCUGCAAAAUUCAUUACAUUGAUGAAGGAGUAUCUAAUUAGCAGAUUUGAUAUUACUCCUAUAGUUAUAGGAUGGAUAAAAGUAUUAAUUGGAAAAAAGUGUUUAAUGGAGAAUAAAUGGUGGAUAUCAUUAUGUGGCUCGAACUCAUAUGCGAUACGCUAUUACUGCACUCCGCAUGAAGUGAAAAUAGAUUUGUUGGACAUCCCUUAUUCAUAUUUUUCUCAUUAGUCAUAAUUUGUCCCAUAGACAAUAACAAAUGUAGGAUUUUAAAAUGAAUAAAAAAGGUUCUUUUCAAUAAUCUCAUAUUUACAAAUUUUUAUUUUCUUUUAGUGUUUCCAAAAAAAGAGAAACAUGUAAAAAAAUAUAUAUUAGCUUGUUAUACGAUUCUUUUUGGUCAAGUAGUGACAGUGCUUCAUAUGUGGCUCGAACUCAUACGCAGAUACGCUAUUAUAAAUUGCAAUCCUACUAUAAUUAGGUUGAAUGACCAAAUGAAGAUACAAUAAUCUUGAACUCACAUAUAAAAUUGUAACAGUAGGAACAAAUAAUGUGAAACAUUAAACCAAACAAUAUUCAGUCAUAGUUCAAGGUAUACAUUUAUAAAAAAAAAAAAAAAGCACAAUAAACAUCGAUUAUUUUCAUGAAAAUAGCCACAUAUAACCAACAGUAAGGUUACUUAUUAUUUUAAAUAUUAUUUCGUGAAACAGCUGCAGCUACAUAGCUGACCAACACAACAGUAGCUUGUUAUUUCCAAACACAAGAGGAAUAAACACCCAAAAGCAGCAAAAGGCAUGAAUGCAGCUUCUUCAAGUUGAGUAACUAUAGCUAGCAAUUGAAGAAGCAGAAGCAGGCAAAACCAAGGCCAUCUCUGUGGCAAGCACCGCUACUUGCACCCUCGCGUUCUCGGCACUGUUUAUCACAGUCUUCUGUUACGAAGCACGGGCCAGUCCAAGUCUUACUACGCCGCUCGCAUAGUGCAGCCUCUGCCGGCUUUGCCAUUUCUGUAAUACACAACACUUACACAAAAUGAUUAAUUUCUAGUUAAUUAAAUUUUAUAAUGCAUGCGUGCUUGCAGAAACUUAUCAUCAUGAAGUACACAUCAAUGUCACUCACCGAACGAAGCGAAGAUGAUGAAGAAUGCAAAAAGAAGAGCAAAAGUCAUUGUAAAGCCAGAAACAGAUUUAGCCAUUUUUAAUUUUUAUUUGUUGCACUUGCUGAACUGGUUUAUUAUUUUCAUGAAAAUGGUAAGUGACCGUAGCCCAAUUUAUACACUUGCAAUGUAAGCUAUCCUUCCCUUUUUGAGAAAGUUUCGAUGAAAUUUUUAGACCUUACUAGUUUUUUAAUAUAUCGAUAAAGUGCAAGGUUUAAUUGUUGUUUUGUAACCAUCUCCCACGUUGGGAAUAUGUAAACAACAAAUAUAUCAGUACCAACAAAGACAGAUAAAUAUUUUCAGCCGAUGUGGCAAACAAGGUUGUGAGGCCAAAAUAAAAUAUUUACAAAAGUAAUGAGGUAAAAAUGUAAAAAUUUAAAAAUAGUUAAAUUUUAUAAUUUUAUAAUUAUUUUCAAAUCUUUUUCUUUUACGUUGCUUUCUAAAAAAUUUCAAAAAGUAAGCCGGGGUUUACCCUGAUUUUUUUUUUUUUUUUGGUUUUUUUAACUUUAAAAUUUCAAAGAUAAGUUAGGGUUGCCUUGAAAGCCUUUGCUAUAGGUUGCAUUACUUUUGAAAAAUUUUCAAAAAAGUCAGGGGUCACCUUGCGCAAACGCUCUUCCGCUUCUAUAUUUAUAUUAAUCUCGAACUUACUUCAAUAUAUAUCUAGUUUCCCUAUCAAGUGAUAACAUAACAUCACUGCUACAAUAAUCCUAAACUUUCAUAUUGUUGGGUGUGGGUACAUAGAGAUACAUCAACAAUGGUACAAUGAAACUUCAUCGGGGCCAGACCAAUAACUUAAUUAUAUCUAGGAUGUAAUGGAGGGGAAAAAAAUUCGAUCCUACACAAAUAAUUUUGGGAAAAGGACACAAGGACCCCCAACGUUUGAGUAAGGGACACAAAACUCCCUAAGGUUUUAAAAAAGAUACGCAGACCCCAAUUAAUUAACGGAAAUCGUUUCGUUAAAUCACUACAAGGUUAAUACCGUAAUUACAAAUUAAAAACAAGUGAAUUGACUAAAACCCACACACACAUCACACGGACAAACAAACCCCACACACACUGAUUCCAGACAAAUCUUUUAACACACACUCACGGUUUGCCUUGCCGAAAGCUGCUGGGGUUGCCGGAAGUUGCUGGAACUGGUCACGCUACUGGAAGCUGCUGGAACUGCUCGUGCGUCGAUCGAGACUGUGUCUGGUUGCCGGAUCUGCUCGCGAUCAACGUUUGGCUGCUGGUUGUGCUGUUGGAACUGCUGGAAUCUCGCGUUUGGCUGUUGGAACUGCUCGUGUUUGGUUGCUGCUCUUGCUUGUGGAAUCUCGCGUUUGGCUGCUGCUUGUGCUCGCGUUUGGUUGCUGAUCCUGCCUGUUGAAUCUCACGUUUGGCUGCUGCUCUUGCUUGUGGAAUCUCGCGUUUGGCUACUGCUUGUGCUCGCUUUUGGUUGCUGCUCUUGCUUGUGGAAUCCAGGGUUCAAUUCUCUUAAGUCCUAUUUUUUCUCUUUAAUUUUCAUUUUUUUUACUAAAUUAACUUCUCUAGCAUGUUUGAUGCAUAUGUGAUGUAUGUGCAAGAAUAUAAAUAAAUGAUUACGAGAAUUUUUUUUUUUUUUUUGUUUAUGGUUGUUUGAUGAACAGAGUUCUUAAUUUGUCUGAUUUAUUGGAGAUUUCUUGCUAAUUACUUUUGUUAUUUCUUUUCUUUAUCAAUUUUUAGAUGUGCAUGCAAUUUUCUUUAUCAAAUUUAUUUUGUUAUAUCUAACCAGUUGGGCUAGAAUUCUACCUAGGUGAGAUAUUAUGCAUUUUUUUAAUGGUCCUGGAGCAUGUGAAUUUUGUGCUUAAUUUAUUAAUGAAAAGAAUGUAUUGGUUUGCAGAUGGUUGAUCAGCCAUCCCAAAACCUGAAUACUCACUCACUUUAUUCUUUUGAACAAGAAGAUGAUGAAGCAUAUUGGUCAAAUGAUGACAAUGAAGACAUAACACCUGCUGAUGAUGAAAUAGGAUUAAAUUGGGAUGAUGAGGGAGUGGAUGUUGGGCAUAGUGAAGGUUGUGAAGAAGUGGAUUAUAAAGAUAGUGAAGAAGAAGAUAGAAUUCUUUCUAAUUGUGAGUCAGAUGAUAGAGAGCAUGGCCUGCUUUCUGAUUCUGAAGAUGAGCAAUCAUUUCAUUGUUCAAAAUCUAACCCCAAUGAAAUGAUUGAAAUCAGUGUUGGGCAGGAGUUCGACAAUGUCCAACAUUUCAGAAGAGUACUUGAAAACUACGUUAUUAAGAAUGGGUUUGAUCUUAAUAGAAUUAAGAAUGAGAAGAGAAGGUUCAGGGCAAAGUGUUCCAAUGAGGGCUGUCCGUGGUUUAUUUAUGCAGCACUAGUAGAAUCUGGGACAAAAUUCAGAAUUCAGAAGCUGAAUAAUGUACAUGAAUGUAAUGGAGUGUUAGAGAGCAAAGAGGCAUCAUAUAAAUGGAUUGCCUCUCAGUUUGAGGGAACUUUGAAGAACAACCCAAAAAUGCCAGUAAAGGGAAUGAAAGAUGAAUUGGUUUCUAAUUUAGGGAUUAAGGCAAGCAUGAAGAAAAUGUAUAGGGCCAAGAAAAGAGCAAUGGAUAAAUUAAAUGGGAACUAUGCAAAUUCUUAUCAGAGGCUAAGGGAUUAUGCCCAAAUACUCAAACAAAGCAAUCCCAAUACGUUAGUAAAGAUGAAAUUUGUGCCUAGUUUUGAUCAAGAUAGAAGACCAGCUUUGAAGUUUCAGAGAUUUAUGCUUAGCUUUGUUGCUUUGAAGAAUGGAUUCAUUAAUGGAUGUCGAUGGUUUAUUGGAUUGGAUGGUUGUCAUUUAAAGGGGCAUUUCAGAGGUGUACUAUUAUCAGCAGUGGCAUUAGAUGCAAACAAUGGAAUUUUUUCGAUUGCCGUUUGUAUUUGUGAAUCAGAAUGUGCUGAUAGUUGGAAAUGGUUUUUGGCAAUAUUGAGUGAGUGGUUGAACAUAGAGAAUCAAAGUCGAGUAACGUUUAGGACAGAUAGGCAAAAAGGAAUAUUACUAGGUUUGGAAGCAUAUUGGCAUGGUGCAACAGUGAGGCAUUGUGCCAGACAUAUAUUUGCUAACUUAAGAAGUAAUCAUCCUGAUAUCAUCUACAGAAACCUAUUUUGGACAGCAGCAAGAGCCACUAGUGAAAAAGAAUGGGAAGACAACAUGAACAAAAUAAAAACAGCUAAAAAAGACACGCAAGCUGCUUAUGAUUAUUUGAUUAAGAUUGACAAGAAACAGUGGGCUAGACAUGCAUUUCCUGAUGAUGUAAAAGUUGAUCAUGUAACUAACAACUUAAAUGAGUCAUGGAACAGCUGGUUAAAUGAAUACAAAGACAACCCUGUGUUGACACUUAUGGAAUUCAUUCGGAAGAAAGUUAUGAAAAGACUGUAUAAAAGGCAUUCUGAUGCAAGAAAAUGGAUUGGGAAGCUACCUCCAACUGUGAGGAGAAAGUUGAAUGUUUCCAGACAAGAAGGAAGAUAUGUAAGGGUGCUUAUGGCUAGUGAGUAUGAAUUUGAGGUAAUAGAUGAGAAUAAUAAAACAUUUAUAGUUAAUAUGCAGAAUAAAACUUGUGAUUGUGGUGUUUAUCAAAUUUGUGGGAUACCAUGUAAACAUAUCAUCCCAUGUAUUGCUUUAAGACAUGAAGAUGCUGCUGAUUAUGUGGAUAAAAAACUGACAGUGGAAGCAUAUUUGGCCACAUAUGCAAAUAUCAUACAUCCACUUCCAUAUCAAAGUACAUGGGCUGUUGUUGAAGGUCUAAAAGUCUUAUCUCCAUAUGUCAAAACAAGAGUUGGUAGGCCUAAAAUAGUGAGGAAAAGAGAGCCAGGGGAAGAACAAGGGAAAAGAAAGACCAAGCAAAAAUGUAGCUGUUGUGCAAUUUUCGGCCAUAAUAAAAGAUUAUAUAAAAGACCAAUUGAUUCCACUCAACACCCCUCAGGUAAGCCUAAAUUUCUUUUUUUUUUUAUUUUACUUUUUUAUAUAAAAAUAAAAUUUAUAUAUUAAUAUUUAUACAUUUAUCGUGCAGGAACAACCACACAAGAUAUGAGAUGAAGCUCACAAGCUAGUAAUCAGAGUUGUUAUACCAAUUUGUGAACAGAUUAUGUUUUUUUUUCAAAAAAUAUUAUGGUUAUUGUUGUAAUGUUUACCAGUACUAAUUUGAUACAAUAUUAUAAUACAAUUAUUUUUUGUUAUGUUUACUGGAUUGAUGGUUUUAAUGUCUAUUGGAUAUGUUAUUUAGUACAAUUAAGAUUUUGUAAUUAUUGUUGUAAAUAAUUUUUUUUUAUUUUGUUGAUUAUAUAAGUUUAAAUGAUUGACAUAUGGAGAAUUGUUAUUUUUAUUAUAUUAAUAAUCAAUUUAAUUUAUUUUUAUUCUUGAGCAAUGAAUUAAAUUUAUUUAGUUUGAAGAGAAAAAUUAACAAAAAUUAAAUGGAAAAAUUGGGUAAUGAAGUUAUAUUCGUAAUUAUAUUAAUAAUAUAGGGAUAAAUUGGACAAUGAACAAUUAGUUUUUAAUAUGCUAUAAGGGUAUAAUGGUAAUUGUACUUUAAAAUUAUAAUUUCACUCAAAAGAAACGGUUUCCGUUAACUAAUGGGGGUCUGAGUGUCUUUUUUGAAACAUGAGGGAGUUUUAUGUCCCUUAUUCAAACGUUGGGGGUCUCUGUGUCCUUUUCCCAAUAAUUUAUCAUCAUGUGUUAAGUGACGAUUGACUUUAUUAAUUAUUGGUACAAAAUUAAUAUGCCAAGCACAAAUGAUCAACUGAGAUACAAAAUCUUGGUUCUCCACUGCGUGUGUAUAUUAUACCAUGUAAUGUUGUUAUCACCACCCAAAACUCUCUCCGAAUUAAGUAGGUAUAGGCGCUAAUUCAUCACAAGAUUAUUACUGCACUCGCAUGAAGUGAAAAUAGAUUUGUUGGAUAUCCCUUAUUCAUAUUUUUUCUCAUUAGUCAUAAUUGUCCCAUAGACAAUAACAAAUGUAGGAUUUUAAAAUGAAUAAAAAAGUUCUUUUCAAUAAUCUCAUAUUUACAAAUUAUAUUUUCUUUUAGUGUUUCCAAAAAAGAGGAACAUGUAAAAAAUAUAUAUUAGCUUGUUAUACGACUCUUUUUGGUCAAGUGAUAGUGCUUCAGGUAAUUUUUAUAAAUAAAAUUAAGUUUUGUUUCAAAUAAGCACUCCCCCCCUAAAAAAAAAAGAAGGGGAGAAGGCAAAACCCAGAUUGAUUUCUUAGCGUUACUUUUCUCAAAAUCCAGACUCAAGUGGUCGGGCAAAGAAAUUUGCGUAAAAACCACUCGGUCAAGACCUUUGGCCUCAUUGAGUACUCAUUGAUGGCGAUAUAAUUAAUUAAUUCUAAUGUGACCAACUCAUUUGCACGUGAGAGAAAAUGAAUGUUAAUUAUACUUCACCAGCAACUAUAUCCAAUUUUGUUAUUUUAUAUUAUUAAGUCUCAAGAUGGUUAUGUUUCAUACACAUUUAACUAAUUAAGAACAUAAUAAAUACUUAUAUGGAAUAAAUAAUUUUCAUAAUAGUACAUGAAUGUUCAUUCCUGGUGCUUGCGUAUCAUAGUAAUAUAAAUAGCGUGAAGAGAUGGAGUAAUAACUUAUAAUUAGAUUUGUAGAGUGUGGCUCAUUAUAUUAGAAUAACACAAACAAGCAAUACAACAAAGACGCAACAAACAUUGACUCGUUCCUUAUUCAGAAGCUACGUACGGUAUAGUUAUGGCUAACCGUACACUGUACGUAGCUUGUUAUUGUUCUAAACACAAGACGACUGAAACGAGACACAUCACACGAACGACAGCAAAUAAUUAAGGUAGCCACAGCUAGCUUUCGCUGCUAACGAUGGAUAUAAUUUCUUUCAUUGAUAAGCAACUAGCACUCGAAGUAACAGAAGCACGCAUAACCAGUUCCUUGUCUGUAGCAAGCCCCGUACCUUGCAUCCUCCUGCUGCUUGCAGUGCCUGCUACAUUUCCCCGUGUUGAGACACGGCCCCGACCAUGUCUUGCUACGCCGCUGGCACACUUUUGCUUCCGCCAUUGGCACUUCUGUAACAAGCAUACAAAAUCAUUAACGUGCACUUAGAUAUAUAAGUUAUUAUCAAAGCUCAUGGGUGUCAACAAAUUCAGGUGGUAAAAUGAUCUCUUAGGUUGAAACAAGAAGUCUGAGGUUUAAACUCUGCUUACAUGAAUGGAAGAGUGCUUUAUAUUACAAUAUACCAGUAUACAAACACACACACACACACACUAAAAUCUGAAAUAAAAAAAAAAUUGUUAUGAAAGUUUAAUAUGCAUGCAUAUGAAACAUAUAUAUGAUUUUGCUUCCCCUCUGGCAUUUCUGUAACACAUACACAGCAUAUUUAAUGCACUCAGUUAGCUAAUAUUAGUUAGGCACGUGGGCUUAUGAAUGGUAUUUAGUGUCAGACUCAUGCGCAAGUAUGCCCUCAUCGCUUAAGAGCAGUUAUUCAAGAAAACUUCAACUAUAAACUAACUUUUUGAGUAUGAGUUAGGCUCAAGUCUUUUUGAAACUGCACAACUUAAUAUCAUAGGCAAAACUUAAAAUUAAAUUUUGAUUGCUGAAAAACUAUUAAGUACUGGUUAACAUCAAGUCACUCACCGAAGGAAGCAAAGAGUAUGAAGAACGCAAAAAUAAGAGCAAAAGCUGUGGUAAUGCUAGCAACUGACUUAGCCAUUUUUGCACUUGCUUUGGUUUUAAUUUGAUGAAAUUGCUGAAGGCCCCAACCCCUAUUUAUACUUGGAUAUAAGCUGUCUCUUCGUCUCUAGCCAAGAUCCGCGAGAGACAAAGAAACAAUAAAUUAAUUAACCGGGGAAAUUUGAAUUAGACACUAAAAAAUGAAUUCACGCUCGGAUUAUUGACAAAAAAUUUUACAGUUUAUGCAAAUAAUUGUGAAUUAGAAUGACGUCCUGCCAAUUGCUAUAUUAUAUGCACUCUGAAGUAGUCUUAGGUAGUUGAAAUCUUCAAAUUUAAAUAUAAUACGCAAUGCGAACUUCAAUGACCCAUUCUUCCCCAUAACCUUGUCAUUGACAAAAGAUUUUACAGUUUAUUCAGAUAAUUGUGAAUUGAAAUAGUGUCCUGCCAAGUGCUCUAUUUCAUUAUUUCAUAUGCACUCUGAAGUAGUCUUAGUUAAAAUCUUAAAAUUUAAAUAUCAUAUUCAAUGCCCGACUUCAAUGACCCAUUCUUCCCUAUAACCUUGUUAAACCACCCUAUCGGAUUCUGUAUAUUCUAUUUAUUGUGUGGUUAAUUGUUCUUAUCAAUCGGAUCUAUGACAUACAGCGCUUCAUCUACGUAGCAAAAUGAUGGUGCAAGUAUAAUUUUCUAUUGCUAUAAACAGAAAAUUAAACGUUUUAUUCAUACUAUUACUUUUAUAAGUUUUAUGUAAACUUUUAAAGACCACAUUGAAAAGAUAAAUUCACUCUUGUUAUCAUUCAAUUUAGCUUAAGGUCAAUUUAUACCAGAAUAUUGAGAAGAUAGAAAGAACUUAAACAAUCAUACUAAAUAGAGGAUUUCUUCCAUAUUUUUAAUACUAUAAUGUCGAUGAUACGUACUAUUUUUACAUUCAAUGAUGAAAAUGAUUUUGGCUCAUAUUAGUCUUAAUAAAGAAGAAUUAAUAUUUAGGAUCAUAAAGUGAUCCCUUUUUUAUGAAAUUCUUAUUUAUUUCUGACAAAAAAUCUUAAAGAUAACAAGACAACUGAAGAGAAAAUUCCUCCAAACAUACAUAAAAACCAUGACAACAAAAAUGAAAAUGAGCCAAAGCAUUUCUUGAUUACAAAUUCUUGGGACAUAACAGAUUCGAAAAUCUUACUUUGAUACAGGUAAGUGUUAGAGAUUAGAAAUAAUAUGAAACAACUAUGUAUGAGUAUGAUGGAUACCCUAAAUCAGCUAAACAACGCACAACAUAGUCAUCCUAAUCUUAUUAAAGGGAUGUAUCUUCGACAACUUAUUUGAUCUCUUAUGCUGUGGGGGCCAAAUUCAUUUAUGUGGGGGAAAUUUGUGAACUAUGACCUUCAAAUUCUUGUACGUGUAAGGUAAGAACUCUCGUCUAAAAGCCUUGUUUUAUUAGGUGAUUAUUGACAUAGACAAAUAACAUAUAGCAAUUGAUUAGUGAUUACGACAAUGUUGAUGCGUAAUCAAAUAGAAUAUUUAUGAUUUUUUUAUGCUCAUCGGAUGUUAAUAAGAUAAGAAUCGCGAUGAAAAGUUCAUCAAUGUAUAUGGUACGCAUGUUGAUAGAGGACAAAAACAUUGUUUGAAAUUAAUAUUUUUUUGGGUUUAAAGGUAUUGGACUUUUCUUCUUUGACUAUGGAUAGUAGUUUUUUUUGGAAUCAAAUACAGUAUGAUUAUUUGAACAUAUUAAAAUACUCAAUAAACAUGUUUACUAAAAUACUCUUAUUAAAGAUUUCUCUCAUUGUUUCUUUUUCAACCCUCCAUCCACUCUUAAUUCUCUCCCAUCUUUUAUCUGCCAGUAUUGUCUUAUCUAGAAUAGAAAUUUAGGCUAUGGACAUCUAGUAAUAAAAAUUUAAAAACUUAAAUAAAAAAUGAAAAAAUGAGUCUAAUGAGCAAUUUUAUGGGUUCAAAUAAUUAAUUCCGCCUACUCAAGUGCCAGUAUUGUCCUAUCUAUAAUAUAAAUUUAGGCUAUGGACAUUCUAGUAAUAAAAAUUUAAAAACUUAAAUAAAAAAUGAGUCUAAUGAGUAAUUUUAUGGGUUCAAAUAAUUAAUUCCUUCUACUCAAGUAUUAUUCUUUUAUUUCUGGAUAAUAGUAACAAAGUACGAUUUCAAAGAUAACAAUUCAGAUGGGUAGGAAAGUCUUCCAAUAAAUAUUAGAUAUUUAAAUUAGUAGUUUGAAGAUAAAAUACUAGUAGGAUCAUGGAGCGGGGACAUGACUGGAUUAGCAACAAUGUUUUUUAAAAGGUAGAGAUGUGGGUAAAAAUUAAAAUGCUUUUUUAAUAUUUAACAUCAAUUAAAUAAGACUUCUUAAAAAGUAGUUGGCUAGAUCCUGGAGGUGAUUACCUGCAAAAUUCAUUACAUUGAUGAAGGAGUAUCUAAUUAGCAGAUUUGAUAUUACUCCUAUAGUUAUAGGAUGGAUAAAAGUAUUAAUUGGAAAAAAGUGUUAAUGGAGAAUAAAUGGUGGAUAUCAUUAUGUGGCUCGAACUCAUAUGCAGAUACGCUAUUACUGCACUCGCAUGAAGUGAAAAUAGAUUUGUUGGACAUCCCUUAUUCAUAUUUUUUCUCAUUAGUCAUAAUUGUCCCAUAGACAAUAACAAAUGUAGGAUUUUAAAAUGAAUAAAAAAGGUUCUUUUCAAUAAUCUCAUAUUUACAAAUUUUAUUUUCUUUUAGUGUUUCCAAAAAAGAGAAACAUGUAAAAAAUAUAUAUUAGCUUGUUAUACGAUUCUUUUUGGUCAAGUAGUGACAGUGCUUCAUAUGUGGCUCGAACUCAUACGCAGAUACGCUAUUAUAAAUUGCAAUCCUACCUAUAAUUAGGUUGAAUGACCAAAUGAAGAUACAAUAAUCUUGAACUCACAUAUAAAAUUGUAACAGUAGGAACAAAUAAUGUGAAACAUUAAACCAAACAAUAUUCAGUCAUAGUUCAAGGUAUACAUUUAUAAAAAAAAAAAAAAGCACAAUAAACAUCGAUUAUUUUCAUGAAAAUAGCCACAUAUAACCAACAGUAAGGUUACUUAUUAUUUUAAAUAUUAUUUCGUGAAACAGCUGCAGCUACAUAGCUGACCAACACAACAGUAGCUUGUUAUUUCCAAACACAAGAGGAAUAAACACCCAAAAGCAGCAAAAGGCAUGAAUGCAGCUUCUUCAAGUUGAGUAACUAUAGCUAGCAAUUGAAGAAGCAGAAGCAGGCAAAACCAAGGCCAUCUCUGUGGCAAGCACCGCUACUUGCACCCUCGCGUUCUCGGCACUGUUUAUCACAGUCUUCUGUUACGAAGCACGGGCCAGUCCAAGUCUUACUACGCCGCUCGCAUAGUGCAGCCUCUGCCGGCUUUGCCAUUUCUGUAAUACACAACACUUACACAAAAUGAUUAAUUUCUAGUUAAUUAAAUUUUAUAAUGCAUGCGUGCUUGCAGAAACUUAUCAUCAUGAAGUACACAUCAAUGUCACUCACCGAACGAAGCGAAGAUGAUGAAGAAUGCAAAAAGAAGAGCAAAAGUCAUUGUAAAGCCAGAAACAGAUUUAGCCAUUUUAAUUUUUAUUUGUUGCACUUGCUGAACUGGUUUAUUAUUUCAUGAAAAUGGUAAGUGACCGUAGCCCCAAUUUAUACACUUGCAAUGUAAGCUAUCCCUUCCCUUUUUGAGAAAGUUUCGAUGAAAUUUUUAGACCUUACUAGUUUUUUAAUAUAUCGAUAAAGUGCAAGGUUUAAUUGUUGUUUUGUAACCAUCUCCCACGUUGGGAAUAUGUAAACAACAAAUAUAUCAGUACCAACAAAGACAGAUAAAUAUUUUCAGCCGAUGUGGCAAACAAGGUUGUGAGGCCAAAAUAAAAUAUUUACAAAGUAAUGAGGUAAAAAUGUAAAAUUUAAAAAUAGUUAAAUUUUAUAAUUUUAUAAUUAUUUUCAAAUCUUUUUCUUUUACGUUGCUUUCUAAAAAAUUUCAAAAAGUAAGCCGGGGUUUACCCUGAUUUUUUUUUUUUUUUUGGUUUUUUUAACUUUAAAAUUUCAAAGAUAAGUUAGGGUUGCCUUGAAAGCCUUUGCUAUAGGUUGCAUUACUUUUGAAAAAUUUUCAAAAAGUCAGGGGUCACCUUGCGCAAACGCUCUUCCGCUUCUAUAUUUAUAUUAAUCUCGAACUUACUUCAAUAUAUAUCUAGUUUCCCUAUCAAGUGAUAACAUAACAUCACUGCUACAAUAAUCCUAAACUUUCAUAUUGUUGGGUGUGGGUACAUAGAGAUACAUCAACAAUGGUACAAUGAAACUUCAUCGGGGCCAGACCAAUAACUUAAUUAUAUCUAGGAUGUAAUGGGAGGGGAAAAAAAUUCGAUCCUACACAAAUAAUUUUGGGAAAAGGACACAAGGACCCCCAACGUUUGAGUAAGGGACACAAAACUCCCUAAGGUUUUAAAAAAGAUACGCAGACCCCAAUUAAUUAACGGAAAUCGUUUCGUUAAAUCACUACAAGGUUAAUACCGUAAUUACAAAUUAAAAACAAGUGAAUUGACUAAAACCCACACACACAUCACACGGACAAACAAACCCCACACACACUGAUUCCAGACAAAUCUUUUAACACACACUCACGGUUUGCCUUGCCGAAAGCUGCUGGGGUUGCCGGAAGUUGCUGGAACUGGUCACGCUACUGGAAGCUGCUGGAACUGCUCGUGCGUCGAUCGAGACUGUGUCUGGUUGCCGGAUCUGCUCGCGAUCAACGUUUGGCUGCUGGUUGUGCUGUUGGAACUGCUGGAAUCUCGCGUUUGGCUGUUGGAACUGCUCGUGUUUGGUUGCUGCUCUUGCUUGUGGAAUCUCGCGUUUGGCUGCUGCUUGUGCUCGCGUUUGGUUGCUGAUCCUGCCUGUUGAAUCUCACGUUUGGCUGCUGCUCUUGCUUGUGGAAUCUCGCGUUUGGCUACUGCUUGUGCUCGCUUUUGGUUGCUGCUCUUGCUUGUGGAAUCCAGGGUUCAAUUCUCUUAAGUCCUAUUUUUUCUCUUUAAUUUUCAUUUUUUUUACUAAAUUAACUUCUCUAGCAUGUUUGAUGCAUAUGUGAUGUAUGUGCAAGAAUAUAAAUAAAUGAUUACGAGAAUUUUUUUUUUUUUUUGUUUAUGGUUGUUUGAUGAACAGAGUUCUUAAUUUGUCUGAUUUAUUGGAGAUUUCUUGCUAAUUACUUUUGUUAUUUCUUUUCUUUAUCAAUUUUUAGAUGUGCAUGGAAUUUUCUUUAUCAAAUUUAUUUUGUUAUAUCUAACCAGUUGGGCUAGAAUUCUACCUAGGUGAGAUAUUAUGCAUUUUUUUAAUGGUCCUGGAGCAUGUGAAUUUUGUGCUUAAUUUAUUAAUGAAAAGAAUGUAUUGGUUUGCAGAUGGUUGAUCAGCCAUCCCAAAACCUGAAUACUCACUCACUUUAUUCUUUUGAACAAGAAGAUGAUGAAGCAUAUUGGUCAAAUGAUGACAAUGAAGACAUAACACCUGCUGAUGAUGAAAUAGGAUUAAAUUGGGAUGAUGAGGGAGUGGAUGUUGGGCAUAGUGAAGGUUGUGAAGAAGUGGAUUAUAAAGAUAGUGAAGAAGAAGAUAGAAUUCUUUCUAAUUGUGAGUCAGAUGAUAGAGAGCAUGGCCUGCUUUCUGAUUCUGAAGAUGAGCAAUCAUUUCAUUGUUCAAAAUCUAACCCCAAUGAAAUGAUUGAAAUCAGUGUUGGGCAGGAGUUCGACAAUGUCCAACAUUUCAGAAGAGUACUUGAAAACUACGUUAUUAAGAAUGGGUUUGAUCUUAAUAGAAUUAAGAAUGAGAAGAGAAGGUUCAGGGCAAAGUGUUCCAAUGAGGGCUGUCCGUGGUUUAUUUAUGCAGCACUAGUAGAAUCUGGGACAAAAUUCAGAAUUCAGAAGCUGAAUAAUGUACAUGAAUGUAAUGGAGUGUUAGAGAGCAAAGAGGCAUCAUAUAAAUGGAUUGCCUCUCAGUUUGAGGGAACUUUGAAGAACAACCCAAAAAUGCCAGUAAAGGGAAUGAAAGAUGAAUUGGUUUCUAAUUUAGGGAUUAAGGCAAGCAUGAAGAAAAUGUAUAGGGCCAAGAAAAGAGCAAUGGAUAAAUUAAAUGGGAACUAUGCAAAUUCUUAUCAGAGGCUAAGGGAUUAUGCCCAAAUACUCAAACAAAGCAAUCCCAAUACGUUAGUAAAGAUGAAAUUUGUGCCUAGUUUUGAUCAAGAUAGAAGACCAGCUUUGAAGUUUCAGAGAUUUAUGCUUAGCUUUGUUGCUUUGAAGAAUGGAUUCAUUAAUGGAUGUCGAUGGUUUAUUGGAUUGGAUGGUUGUCAUUUAAAGGGGCAUUUCAGAGGUGUACUAUUAUCAGCAGUGGCAUUAGAUGCAAACAAUGGAAUUUUUUCGAUUGCCGUUUGUAUUUGUGAAUCAGAAUGUGCUGAUAGUUGGAAAUGGUUUUUGGCAAUAUUGAGUGAGUGGUUGAACAUAGAGAAUCAAAGUCGAGUAACGUUUAGGACAGAUAGGCAAAAAGGAAUAUUACUAGGUUUGGAAGCAUAUUGGCAUGGUGCAACAGUGAGGCAUUGUGCCAGACAUAUAUUUGCUAACUUAAGAAGUAAUCAUCCUGAUAUCAUCUACAGAAACCUAUUUUGGACAGCAGCAAGAGCCACUAGUGAAAAAGAAUGGGAAGACAACAUGAACAAAAUAAAAACAGCUAAAAAAGACACGCAAGCUGCUUAUGAUUAUUUGAUUAAGAUUGACAAGAAACAGUGGGCUAGACAUGCAUUUCCUGAUGAUGUAAAAGUUGAUCAUGUAACUAACAACUUAAAUGAGUCAUGGAACAGCUGGUUAAAUGAAUACAAAGACAACCCUGUGUUGACACUUAUGGAAUUCAUUCGGAAGAAAGUUAUGAAAAGACUGUAUAAAAGGCAUUCUGAUGCAAGAAAAUGGAUUGGGAAGCUACCUCCAACUGUGAGGAGAAAGUUGAAUGUUUCCAGACAAGAAGGAAGAUAUGUAAGGGUGCUUAUGGCUAGUGAGUAUGAAUUUGAGGUAAUAGAUGAGAAUAAUAAAACAUUUAUAGUUAAUAUGCAGAAUAAAACUUGUGAUUGUGGUGUUUAUCAAAUUUGUGGGAUACCAUGUAAACAUAUCAUCCCAUGUAUUGCUUUAAGACAUGAAGAUGCUGCUGAUUAUGUGGAUAAAAAACUGACAGUGGAAGCAUAUUUGGCCACAUAUGCAAAUAUCAUACAUCCACUUCCAUAUCAAAGUACAUGGGCUGUUGUUGAAGGUCUAAAAGUCUUAUCUCCAUAUGUCAAAACAAGAGUUGGUAGGCCUAAAAUAGUGAGGAAAAGAGAGCCAGGGGAAGAACAAGGGAAAAGAAAGACCAAGCAAAAAUGUAGCUGUUGUGCAAUUUUCGGCCAUAAUAAAAGAUUAUAUAAAAGACCAAUUGAUUCCACUCAACACCCCUCAGGUAAGCCUAAAUUUCUUUUUUUUUUUUAUUUUACUUUUUUAUAUAAAAAUAAAAUUUAUAUAUUAAUAUUUAUACAUUUAUCGUGCAGGAACAACCACACAAGAUAUGAGAUGAAGCUCACAAGCUAGUAAUCAGAGUUGUUAUACCAAUUUGUGAACAGAUUAUGUUUUUUUUUCAAAAAAUAUUAUGGUUAUUGUUGUAAUUUUUACCAGUACUAAUUUGAUACAAUAUUAUAAUACAAUUAUUUUUUGUUAUGUUUACUGGAUUGAUGGUUUUAAUGUCUAUUGGAUAUGUUAUUUAGUACAAUUAAGAUUUUGUAAUUAUUGUUGUAAAUAAUUUUUUUUUAUUUUGUUGAUUAUAUAAGUUUAAAUGAUUGACAUAUGGAGAAUUGUUAUUUUUAUUAUAUUAAUAAUCAAUUUAAUUUAUUUUUAUUCUUGAGCAAUGAAUUAAAUUUAUUUAGUUUGAAGAGAAAAAUUAACAAAAAUUAAAUGGAAAAAUUGGGUAAUGAAGUUAUAUUCGUAAUUAUAUUAAUAAUAUAGGGAUAAAUUGGACAAUGAACAAUUAGUUUUUAAUAUGCUAUAAGGGUAUAAUGGUAAUUGUACUUUAAAAUUAUAAUUUCACUCAAAAGAAACGGUUUCCGUUAACUAAUGGGGGUCUGAGUGUCUUUUUUGAAACAUGAGGGGGUUUUAUGUCCCUUAUUCAAACGUUGGGGGUCUCUGUGUCCUUUUCCCAAUAAUUUAUCAUCAUGUGUUAAGUGACGAUUGACUUUAUUAAUUAUUGGUACAAAAUUAAUAUGCCAAGCACAAAUGAUCAACUGAGAUACAAAAUCUUGGUUCUCCACUGCGUGUGUAUAUUAUACCAUGUAAUGUUGUUAUCACCACCCAAAACUCUCUCCGAAUUAAGUAGGUAUAGGCGCUAAUUCAUCACAAGAUUAUUACUGCACUCGCAUGAAGUGAAAAUAGAUUUGUUGGAUAUCCCUUAUUCAUAUUUUUUCUCAUUAGUCAUAAUUGUCCCAUAGACAAUAACAAAUGUAGGAUUUUAAAAUGAAUAAAAAAGUUCUUUUCAAUAAUCUCAUAUUUACAAAUUAUAUUUUCUUUUAGUGUUUCCAAAAAAGAGGAACAUGUAAAAAAUAUAUAUUAGCUUGUUAUACGACUCUUUUUGGUCAAGUGAUAGUGCUUCAGGUAAUUUUUAUAAAUAAAAUUAAGUUUUGUUUCAAAUAAGCACUCCCCCCCUAAAAAAAAAAGAAGGGGAGAAGGCAAAACCCAGAUUGAUUUCUUAGCGUUACUUUUCUCAAAAUCCAGACUCAAGUGGUCGGGCAAAGAAAUUUGCGUAAAAACCACUCGGUCAAGACCUUUGGCCUCAUUGAGUACUCAUUGAUGGCGAUAUAAUUAAUUAAUUCUAAUGUGACCAACUCAUUUGCACGUGAGAGAAAAUGAAUGUUAAUUAUACUUCACCAGCAACUAUAUCCAAUUUUGUUAUUUUAUAUUAUUAAGUCUCAAGAUGGUUAUGUUUCAUACACAUUUAACUAAUUAAGAACAUAAUAAAUACUUAUAUGGAAUAAAUAAUUUUCAUAAUAGUACAUGAAUGUUCAUUCCUGGUGCUUGCGUAUCAUAGUAAUAUAAAUAGCGUGAAGAGAUGGAGUAAUAACUUAUAAUUAGAUUUGUAGAGUGUGGCUCAUUAUAUUAGAAUAACACAAACAAGCAAUACAACAAAGACGCAACAAACAUUGACUCGUUCCUUAUUCAGAAGCUACGUACGGUAUAGUUAUGGCUAACCGUACACUGUACGUAGCUUGUUAUUGUUCUAAACACAAGACGACUGAAACGAGACACAUCACACGAACGACAGCAAAUAAUUAAGGUAGCCACAGCUAGCUUUCGCUGCUAACGAUGGAUAUAAUUUCUUUCAUUGAUAAGCAACUAGCACUCGAAGUAACAGAAGCACGCAUAACCAGUUCCUUGUCUGUAGCAAGCCCCGUACCUUGCAUCCUCCUGCUGCUUGCAGUGCCUGCUACAUUUCCCCGUGUUGAGACACGGCCCCGACCAUGUCUUGCUACGCCGCUGGCACACUUUUGCUUCCGCCAUUGGCACUUCUGUAACAAGCAUACAAAAUCAUUAACGUGCACUUAGAUAUAUAAGUUAUUAUCAAAGCUCAUGGGUGUCAACAAAUUCAGGUGGUAAAAUGAUCUCUUAGGUUGAAACAAGAAGUCUGAGGUUUAAACUCUGCUUACAUGAAUGGAAGAGUGCUUUAUAUUACAAUAUACCAGUAUACAAACACACACACACACACACUAAAAUCUGAAAUAAAAAAAAAAUUGUUAUGAAAGUUUAAUAUGCAUGCAUAUGAAACAUAUAUAUGAUUUUGCUUCCCCUCUGGCAUUUCUGUAACACAUACACAGCAUAUUUAAUGCACUCAGUUAGCUAAUAUUAGUUAGGCACGUGGGCUUAUGAAUGGUAUUUAGUGUCAGACUCAUGCGCAAGUAUGCCCUCAUCGCUUAAGAGCAGUUAUUCAAGAAAACUUCAACUAUAAACUAACUUUUUGAGUAUGAGUUAGGCUCAAGUCUUUUUGAAACUGCACAACUUAAUAUCAUAGGCAAAACUUAAAAUUAAAUUUUGAUUGCUGAAAAACUAUUAAGUACUGGUUAACAUCAAGUCACUCACCGAAGGAAGCAAAGAGUAUGAAGAACGCAAAAAUAAGAGCAAAAGCUGUGGUAAUGCUAGCAACUGACUUAGCCAUUUUUGCACUUGCUUUGGUUUUAAUUUGAUGAAAUUGCUGAAGGCCCCAACCCCUAUUUAUACUUGGAUAUAAGCUGUCUCUUCGUCUCUAGCCAAGAUCCGCGAGAGACAAAGAAACAAUAAAUUAAUUAACCGGGGAAAUUUGAAUUAGACACUAAAAAAUGAAUUCACGCUCGGAUUAUUGACAAAAAAUUUUACAGUUUAUGCAAAUAAUUGUGAAUUAGAAUGACGUCCUGCCAAUUGCUAUAUUAUAUGCACUCUGAAGUAGUCUUAGGUAGUUGAAAUCUUCAAAUUUAAAUAUAAUACGCAAUGCGAACUUCAAUGACCCAUUCUUCCCCAUAACCUUGUCAUUGACAAAAGAUUUUACAGUUUAUUCAGAUAAUUGUGAAUUGAAAUAGUGUCCUGCCAAGUGCUCUAUUUCAUUAUUUCAUAUGCACUCUGAAGUAGUCUUAGUUAAAAUCUUAAAAUUUAAAUAUCAUAUUCAAUGCCCGACUUCAAUGACCCAUUCUUCCCUAUAACCUUGUUAAACCACCCUAUCGGAUUCUGUAUAUUCUAUUUAUUGUGUGGUUAAUUGUUCUUAUCAAUCGGAUCUAUGACAUACAGCGCUUCAUCUACGUAGCAAAAUGAUGGUGCAAGUAUAAUUUUCUAUUGCUAUAAACAGAAAAUUAAACGUUUUAUUCAUACUAUUACUUUUAUAAGUUUUAUGUAAACUUUUAAAGACCACAUUGAAAAGAUAAAUUCACUCUUGUUAUCAUUCAAUUUAGCUUAAGGUCAAUUUAUACCAGAAUAUUGAGAAGAUAGAAAGAACUUAAACAAUCAUACUAAAUAGAGGAUUUCUUCCAUAUUUUUAAUACUAUAAUGUCGAUGAUACGUACUAUUUUUACAUUCAAUGAUGAAAAUGAUUUUGGCUCAUAUUAGUCUUAAUAAAGAAGAAUUAAUAUUUAGGAUCAUAAAGUGAUCCCUUUUUUAUGAAAUUCUUAUUUAUUUCUGACAAAAAAUCUUAAAGAUAACAAGACAACUGAAGAGAAAAUUCCUCCAAACAUACAUAAAAACCAUGACAACAAAAAUGAAAAUGAGCCAAAGCAUUUCUUGAUUACAAAUUCUUGGGACAUAACAGAUUCGAAAAUCUUACUUUGAUACAGGUAAGUGUUAGAGAUUAGAAAUAAUAUGAAACAACUAUGUAUGAGUAUGAUGGAUACCCUAAAUCAGCUAAACAACGCACAACAUAGUCAUCCUAAUCUUAUUAAAGGGAUGUAUCUUCGACAACUUAUUUGAUCUCUUAUGCUGUGGGGGCCAAAUUCAUUUAUGUGGGGGAAAUUUGUGAACUAUGACCUUCAAAUUCUUGUACGUGUAAGGUAAGAACUCUCGUCUAAAAGCCUUGUUUUAUUAGGUGAUUAUUGACAUAGACAAAUAAAAUAUAGCAAUUGAUUAGUGAUUACGACAAUGUUGAUGCGUAAUCAAAUAGAAUAUUUAUGAUUUUUUUAUGCUCAUCGGAUGUUAAUAAGAUAAGAAUCGCGAUGAAAAGUUCAUCAAUGUAUAUGGUACGCAUGUUGAUAGAGGACAAAAACAUUGUUUGAAAUUAAUAUUUUUUUGGGUUUAAAGGUAUUGGACUUUUCUUCUUUGACUAUGGAUAGUAGUUUUUUUUUGGAAUCAAAUACAGUAUGAUUAUUUGAACAUAUUAAAAUACUCAAUAAACAUGUUUACUAAAAUACUCUUAUUAAAGAUUUCUCUCAUUGUUUCUUUUUCAACCCUCCAUCCACUCUUAAUUCUCUCCCAUCUUUUAUCUGCCAGUAUUGUCUUAUCUAGAAUAGAAAUUUAGGCUAUGGACAUCUAGUAAUAAAAAUUUAAAAACUUAAAUAAAAAAUGAAAAAAUGAGUCUAAUGAGCAAUUUUAUGGGUUCAAAUAAUUAAUUCCGCCUACUCAAGUGCCAGUAUUGUCCUAUCUAUAAUAUAAAUUUAGGCUAUGGACAUUCUAGUAAUAAAAAUUUAAAAACUUAAAUAAAAAAUGAGUCUAAUGAGUAAUUUUAUGGGUUCAAAUAAUUAAUUCCUUCUACUCAAGUAUUAUUCUUUUAUUUCUGGAUAAUAGUAACAAAGUACGAUUUCAAAGAUAACAAUUCAGAUGGGUAGGAAAGUCUUCCAAUAAAUAUUAGAUAUUUAAAUUAGUAGUUUGAAGAUAAAAUACUAGUAGGAUCAUGGAGCGGGGACAUGACUGGAUUAGCAACAAUGUUUUUUAAAAGGUAGAGAUGUGGGUAAAAAUUAAAAUGCUUUUUUAAUAUUUAACAUCAAUUAAAUAAGACUUCUUAAAAAGUAGUUGGCUAGAUCCUGGAGGUGAUUACCUGCAAAAUUCAUUACAUUGAUGAAGGAGUAUCUAAUUAGCAGAUUUGAUAUUACUCCUAUAGUUAUAGGAUGGAUAAAAGUAUUAAUUGGAAAAAAGUGUUAAUGGAGAAUAAAUGGUGGAUAUCAUUAUGUGGCUCGAACUCAUAUGCAGAUACGCUAUUACUGCACUCGCAUGAAGUGAAAAUAGAUUUGUUGGACAUCCCUUAUUCAUAUUUUUUCUCAUUAGUCAUAAUUGUCCCAUAGACAAUAACAAAUGUAGGAUUUUAAAAUGAAUAAAAAAGGUUCUUUUCAAUAAUCUCAUAUUUACAAAUUUUAUUUUCUUUUAGUGUUUCCAAAAAAGAGAAACAUGUAAAAAAUAUAUAUUAGCUUGUUAUACGAUUCUUUUUGGUCAAGUAGUGACAGUGCUUCAUAUGUGGCUCGAACUCAUACGCAGAUACGCUAUUAUAAAUUGCAAUCCUACCUAUAAUUAGGUUGAAUGACCAAAUGAAGAUACAAUAAUCUUGAACUCACAUAUAAAAUUGUAACAGUAGGAACAAAUAAUGUGAAACAUUAAACCAAACAAUAUUCAGUCAUAGUUCAAGGUAUACAUUUAUAAAAAAAAAAAAAAAGCACAAUAAACAUCGAUUAUUUUCAUGAAAAUAGCCACAUAUAACCAACAGUAAGGUUACUUAUUAUUUUAAAUAUUAUUUCGUGAAACAGCUGCAGCUACAUAGCUGACCAACACAACAGUAGCUUGUUAUUUCCAAACACAAGAGGAAUAAACACCCAAAAGCAGCAAAAGGCAUGAAUGCAGCUUCUUCAAGUUGAGUAACUAUAGCUAGCAAUUGAAGAAGCAGAAGCAGGCAAAACCAAGGCCAUCUCUGUGGCAAGCACCGCUACUUGCACCCUCGCGUUCUCGGCACUGUUUAUCACAGUCUUCUGUUACGAAGCACGGGCCAGUCCAAGUCUUACUACGCCGCUCGCAUAGUGCAGCCUCUGCCGGCUUUGCCAUUUCUGUAAUACACAACACUUACACAAAAUGAUUAAUUUCUAGUUAAUUAAAUUUUAUAAUGCAUGCGUGCUUGCAGAAACUUAUCAUCAUGAAGUACACAUCAAUGUCACUCACCGAACGAAGCGAAGAUGAUGAAGAAUGCAAAAAGAAGAGCAAAAGUCAUUGUAAAGCCAGAAACAGAUUUAGCCAUUUUAAUUUUUAUUUGUUGCACUUGCUGAACUGGUUUAUUAUUUCAUGAAAAUGGUAAGUGACCGUAGCCCCAAUUUAUACACUUGCAAUGUAAGCUAUCCCUUCCCUUUUUGAGAAAGUUUCGAUGAAAUUUUUAGACCUUACUAGUUUUUUAAUAUAUCGAUAAAGUGCAAGGUUUAAUUGUUGUUUUGUAACCAUCUCCCACGUUGGGAAUAUGUAAACAACAAAUAUAUCAGUACCAACAAAGACAGAUAAAUAUUUUCAGCCGAUGUGGCAAACAAGGUUGUGAGGCCAAAAUAAAAUAUUUACAAAGUAAUGAGGUAAAAAUGUAAAAUUUAAAAAUAGUUAAAUUUUAUAAUUUUAUAAUUAUUUUCAAAUCUUUUUCUUUUACGUUGCUUUCUAAAAAAUUUCAAAAAGUAAGCCGGGGUUUACCCUGAUUUUUUUUUUUUUUUGGUUUUUUUAACUUUAAAAUUUCAAAGAUAAGUUAGGGUUGCCUUGAAAGCCUUUGCUAUAGGUUGCAUUACUUUUGAAAAAUUUUCAAAAAGUCAGGGGUCACCUUGCGCAAACGCUCUUCCGCUUCUAUAUUUAUAUUAAUCUCGAACUUACUUCAAUAUAUAUCUAGUUUCCCUAUCAAGUGAUAACAUAACAUCACUGCUACAAUAAUCCUAAACUUUCAUAUUGUUGGGUGUGGGUACAUAGAGAUACAUCAACAAUGGUACAAUGAAACUUCAUCGGGGCCAGACCAAUAACUUAAUUAUAUCUAGGAUGUAAUGGGAGGGGAAAAAAAUUCGAUCCUACACAAAUAAUUUUGGGAAAAGGACACAAGGACCCCCAACGUUUGAGUAAGGGACACAAAACUCCCUAAGGUUUUAAAAAAGAUACGCAGACCCCAAUUAAUUAACGGAAAUCGUUUCGUUAAAUCACUACAAGGUUAAUACCGUAAUUACAAAUUAAAAACAAGUGAAUUGACUAAAACCCACACACACAUCACACGGACAAACAAACCCCACACACACUGAUUCCAGACAAAUCUUUUAACACACACUCACGGUUUGCCUUGCCGAAAGCUGCUGGGGUUGCCGGAAGUUGCUGGAACUGGUCACGCUACUGGAAGCUGCUGGAACUGCUCGUGCGUCGAUCGAGACUGUGUCUGGUUGCCGGAUCUGCUCGCGAUCAACGUUUGGCUGCUGGUUGUGCUGUUGGAACUGCUGGAAUCUCGCGUUUGGCUGUUGGAACUGCUCGUGUUUGGUUGCUGCUCUUGCUUGUGGAAUCUCGCGUUUGGCUGCUGCUUGUGCUCGCGUUUGGUUGCUGAUCCUGCCUGUUGAAUCUCACGUUUGGCUGCUGCUCUUGCUUGUGGAAUCUCGCGUUUGGCUACUGCUUGUGCUCGCUUUUGGUUGCUGCUCUUGCUUGUGGAAUCCAGGGUUCAAUUCUCUUAAGUCCUAUUUUUUCUCUUUAAUUUUCAUUUUUUUUACUAAAUUAACUUCUCUAGCAUGUUUGAUGCAUAUGUGAUGUAUGUGCAAGAAUAUAAAUAAAUGAUUACGAGAAUUUUUUUUUUUUUUUGUUUAUGGUUGUUUGAUGAACAGAGUUCUUAAUUUGUCUGAUUUAUUGGAGAUUUCUUGCUAAUUACUUUUGUUAUUUCUUUUCUUUAUCAAUUUUUAGAUGUGCAUGGAAUUUUCUUUAUCAAAUUUAUUUUGUUAUAUCUAACCAGUUGGGCUAGAAUUCUACCUAGGUGAGAUAUUAUGCAUUUUUUUAAUGGUCCUGGAGCAUGUGAAUUUUGUGCUUAAUUUAUUAAUGAAAAGAAUGUAUUGGUUUGCAGAUGGUUGAUCAGCCAUCCCAAAACCUGAAUACUCACUCACUUUAUUCUUUUGAACAAGAAGAUGAUGAAGCAUAUUGGUCAAAUGAUGACAAUGAAGACAUAACACCUGCUGAUGAUGAAAUAGGAUUAAAUUGGGAUGAUGAGGGAGUGGAUGUUGGGCAUAGUGAAGGUUGUGAAGAAGUGGAUUAUAAAGAUAGUGAAGAAGAAGAUAGAAUUCUUUCUAAUUGUGAGUCAGAUGAUAGAGAGCAUGGCCUGCUUUCUGAUUCUGAAGAUGAGCAAUCAUUUCAUUGUUCAAAAUCUAACCCCAAUGAAAUGAUUGAAAUCAGUGUUGGGCAGGAGUUCGACAAUGUCCAACAUUUCAGAAGAGUACUUGAAAACUACGUUAUUAAGAAUGGGUUUGAUCUUAAUAGAAUUAAGAAUGAGAAGAGAAGGUUCAGGGCAAAGUGUUCCAAUGAGGGCUGUCCGUGGUUUAUUUAUGCAGCACUAGUAGAAUCUGGGACAAAAUUCAGAAUUCAAAAGCUGAAUAAUGUACAUGAAUGUAAUGGAGUGUUAGAGAGCAAAGAGGCAUCAUAUAAAUGGAUUGCCUCUCAGUUUGAGGGAACUUUGAAGAACAACCCAAAAAUGCCAGUAAAGGGAAUGAAAGAUGAAUUGGUUUCUAAUUUAGGGAUUAAGGCAAGCAUGAAGAAAAUGUAUAGGGCCAAGAAAAGAGCAAUGGAUAAAUUAAAUGGGAACUAUGCAAAUUCUUAUCAGAGGCUAAGGGAUUAUGCCCAAAUACUCAAACAAAGCAAUCCCAAUACGUUAGUAAAGAUGAAAUUUGUGCCUAGUUUUGAUCAAGAUAGAAGACCAGCUUUGAAGUUUCAGAGAUUUAUGCUUAGCUUUGUUGCUUUGAAGAAUGGAUUCAUUAAUGGAUGUCGAUGGUUUAUUGGAUUGGAUGGUUGUCAUUUAAAGGGGCAUUUCAGAGGUGUACUAUUAUCAGCAGUGGCAUUAGAUGCAAACAAUGGAAUUUUUUCGAUUGCCGUUUGUAUUUGUGAAUCAGAAUGUGCUGAUAGUUGGAAAUGGUUUUUGGCAAUAUUGAGUGAGUGGUUGAACAUAGAGAAUCAAAGUCGAGUAACGUUUAGGACAGAUAGGCAAAAAGGAAUAUUACUAGGUUUGGAAGCAUAUUGGCAUGGUGCAACAGUGAGGCAUUGUGCCAGACAUAUAUUUGCUAACUUAAGAAGUAAUCAUCCUGAUAUCAUCUACAGAAACCUAUUUUGGACAGCAGCAAGAGCCACUAGUGAAAAAGAAUGGGAAGACAACAUGAACAAAAUAAAAACAGCUAAAAAAGACACGCAAGCUGCUUAUGAUUAUUUGAUUAAGAUUGACAAGAAACAGUGGGCUAGACAUGCAUUUCCUGAUGAUGUAAAAGUUGAUCAUGUAACUAACAACUUAAAUGAGUCAUGGAACAGCUGGUUAAAUGAAUACAAAGACAACCCUGUGUUGACACUUAUGGAAUUCAUUCGGAAGAAAGUUAUGAAAAGACUGUAUAAAAGGCAUUCUGAUGCAAGAAAAUGGAUUGGGAAGCUACCUCCAACUGUGAGGAGAAAGUUGAAUGUUUCCAGACAAGAAGGAAGAUAUGUAAGGGUGCUUAUGGCUAGUGAGUAUGAAUUUGAGGUAAUAGAUGAGAAUAAUAAAACAUUUAUAGUUAAUAUGCAGAAUAAAACUUGUGAUUGUGGUGUUUAUCAAAUUUGUGGGAUACCAUGUAAACAUAUCAUCCCAUGUAUUGCUUUAAGACAUGAAGAUGCUGCUGAUUAUGUGGAUAAAAAACUGACAGUGGAAGCAUAUUUGGCCACAUAUGCAAAUAUCAUACAUCCACUUCCAUAUCAAAGUACAUGGGCUGUUGUUGAAGGUCUAAAAGUCUUAUCUCCAUAUGUCAAAACAAGAGUUGGUAGGCCUAAAAUAGUGAGGAAAAGAGAGCCAGGGGAAGAACAAGGGAAAAGAAAGACCAAGCAAAAAUGUAGCUGUUGUGCAAUUUUCGGCCAUAAUAAAAGAUUAUAUAAAAGACCAAUUGAUUCCACUCAACACCCCUCAGGUAAGCCUAAAUUUCUUUUUUUUUUUUAUUUUACUUUUUUAUAUAAAAAUAAAAUUUAUAUAUUAAUAUUUAUACAUUUAUCGUGCAGGAACAACCACACAAGAUAUGAGAUGAAGCUCACAAGCUAGUAAUCAGAGUUGUUAUACCAAUUUGUGAACAGAUUAUGUUUUUUUUUCAAAAAAUAUUAUGGUUAUUGUUGUAAUGUUUACCAGUACUAAUUUGAUACAAUAUUAUAAUACAAUUAUUUUUUGUUAUGUUUACUGGAUUGAUGGUUUUAAUGUCUAUUGGAUAUGUUAUUUAGUACAAUUAAGAUUUUGUAAUUAUUGUUGUAAAUAAUUUUUUUUUUAUUUUGUUGAUUAUAUAAGUUUAAAUGAUUGACAUAUGGAGAAUUGUUAUUUUUAUUAUAUUAAUAAUCAAUUUAAUUUAUUUUUAUUCUUGAGCAAUGAAUUAAAUUUAUUUAGUUUGAAGAGAAAAAUUAACAAAAAUUAAAUGGAAAAAUUGGGUAAUGAAGUUAUAUUCGUAAUUAUAUUAAUAAUAUAGGGAUAAAUUGGACAAUGAACAAUUAGUUUUUAAUAUGCUAUAAGGGUAUAAUGGUAAUUGUACUUUAAAAUUAUAAUUUCACUCAAAAGAAACGGUUUCCGUUAACUAAUGGGGGUCUGAGUGUCUUUUUUGAAACAUGAGGGGGUUUUAUGUCCCUUAUUCAAACGUUGGGGGUCUCUGUGUCCUUUUCCCAAUAAUUUAUCAUCAUGUGUUAAGUGACGAUUGACUUUAUUAAUUAUUGGUACAAAAUUAAUAUGCCAAGCACAAAUGAUCAACUGAGAUACAAAAUCUUGGUUCUCCACUGCGUGUGUAUAUUAUACCAUGUAAUGUUGUUAUCACCACCCAAAACUCUCUCCGAAUUAAGUAGGUAUAGGCGCUAAUUCAUCACAAGAUUAUUACUGCACUCGCAUGAAGUGAAAAUAGAUUUGUUGGAUAUCCCUUAUUCAUAUUUUUUCUCAUUAGUCAUAAUUGUCCCAUAGACAAUAACAAAUGUAGGAUUUUAAAAUGAAUAAAAAAGUUCUUUUCAAUAAUCUCAUAUUUACAAAUUAUAUUUUCUUUUAGUGUUUCCAAAAAAGAGGAACAUGUAAAAAAUAUAUAUUAGCUUGUUAUACGACUCUUUUUGGUCAAGUGAUAGUGCUUCAGGUAAUUUUUAUAAAUAAAAUUAAGUUUUGUUUCAAAUAAGCACUCCCCCCCUAAAAAAAAAAGAAGGGGAGAAGGCAAAACCCAGAUUGAUUUCUUAGCGUUACUUUUCUCAAAAUCCAGACUCAAGUGGUCGGGCAAAGAAAUUUGCGUAAAAACCACUCGGUCAAGACCUUUGGCCUCAUUGAGUACUCAUUGAUGGCGAUAUAAUUAAUUAAUUCUAAUGUGACCAACUCAUUUGCACGUGAGAGAAAAUGAAUGUUAAUUAUACUUCACCAGCAACUAUAUCCAAUUUUGUUAUUUUAUAUUAUUAAGUCUCAAGAUGGUUAUGUUUCAUACACAUUUAACUAAUUAAGAACAUAAUAAAUACUUAUAUGGAAUAAAUAAUUUUCAUAAUAGUACAUGAAUGUUCAUUCCUGGUGCUUGCGUAUCAUAGUAAUAUAAAUAGCGUGAAGAGAUGGAGUAAUAACUUAUAAUUAGAUUUGUAGAGUGUGGCUCAUUAUAUUAGAAUAACACAAACAAGCAAUACAACAAAGACGCAACAAACAUUGACUCGUUCCUUAUUCAGAAGCUACGUACGGUAUAGUUAUGGCUAACCGUACACUGUACGUAGCUUGUUAUUGUUCUAAACACAAGACGACUGAAACGAGACACAUCACACGAACGACAGCAAAUAAUUAAGGUAGCCACAGCUAGCUUUCGCUGCUAACGAUGGAUAUAAUUUCUUUCAUUGAUAAGCAACUAGCACUCGAAGUAACAGAAGCACGCAUAACCAGUUCCUUGUCUGUAGCAAGCCCCGUACCUUGCAUCCUCCUGCUGCUUGCAGUGCCUGCUACAUUUCCCCGUGUUGAGACACGGCCCCGACCAUGUCUUGCUACGCCGCUGGCACACUUUUGCUUCCGCCAUUGGCACUUCUGUAACAAGCAUACAAAAUCAUUAACGUGCACUUAGAUAUAUAAGUUAUUAUCAAAGCUCAUGGGUGUCAACAAAUUCAGGUGGUAAAAUGAUCUCUUAGGUUGAAACAAGAAGUCUGAGGUUUAAACUCUGCUUACAUGAAUGGAAGAGUGCUUUAUAUUACAAUAUACCAGUAUACAAACACACACACACACACACUAAAAUCUGAAAUAAAAAAAAAAUUGUUAUGAAAGUUUAAUAUGCAUGCAUAUGAAACAUAUAUAUGAUUUUGCUUCCCCUCUGGCAUUUCUGUAACACAUACACAGCAUAUUUAAUGCACUCAGUUAGCUAAUAUUAGUUAGGCACGUGGGCUUAUGAAUGGUAUUUAGUGUCAGACUCAUGCGCAAGUAUGCCCUCAUCGCUUAAGAGCAGUUAUUCAAGAAAACUUCAACUAUAAACUAACUUUUUGAGUAUGAGUUAGGCUCAAGUCUUUUUGAAACUGCACAACUUAAUAUCAUAGGCAAAACUUAAAAUUAAAUUUUGAUUGCUGAAAAACUAUUAAGUACUGGUUAACAUCAAGUCACUCACCGAAGGAAGCAAAGAGUAUGAAGAACGCAAAAAUAAGAGCAAAAGCUGUGGUAAUGCUAGCAACUGACUUAGCCAUUUUUGCACUUGCUUUGGUUUUAAUUUGAUGAAAUUGCUGAAGGCCCCAACCCCUAUUUAUACUUGGAUAUAAGCUGUCUCUUCGUCUCUAGCCAAGAUCCGCGAGAGACAAAGAAACAAUAAAUUAAUUAACCGGGGAAAUUUGAAUUAGACACUAAAAAAUGAAUUCACGCUCGGAUUAUUGACAAAAAAUUUUACAGUUUAUGCAAAUAAUUGUGAAUUAGAAUGACGUCCUGCCAAUUGCUAUAUUAUAUGCACUCUGAAGUAGUCUUAGGUAGUUGAAAUCUUCAAAUUUAAAUAUAAUACGCAAUGCGAACUUCAAUGACCCAAUCUUCCCCAUAACCUUGUCAUUGACAAAAGAUUUUACAGUUUAUUCAGAUAAUUGUGAAUUGAAAUAGUGUCCUGCCAAGUGCUCUAUUUCAUUAUUUCAUAUGCACUCUGAAGUAGUCUUAGUUAAAAUCUUAAAAUUUAAAUAUCAUAUCCAAUGCCCGACUUCAAUGACCCAUUCUUCCCUAUAACCUUGUUAAACCACCCUAUCGGAUUCUGUAUAUUCUAUUUAUUGUGUGGUUAAUUGUUCUUAUCAAUCGGAUCUAUGACAUACAGCGCUUCAUCUACGUAGCAAAAUGAUGGUGCAAGUAUAAUUUUCUAUUGCUAUAAACAGAAAAUUAAACGUUUUAUUCAUACUAUUACUUUUAUAAGUUUUAUGUAAACUUUUAAAGACCACAUUGAAAAGAUAAAUUCACUCUUGUUAUCAUUCAAUUUAGCUUAAGGUCAAUUUAUACCAGAAUAUUGAGAAGAUAGAAAGAACUUAAACAAUCAUACUAAAUAGGGGAUUUCUUCCAUAUUUUUAAUACUAUAAUGUCGAUGAUACGUACUAUUUUUACAUUCAAUGAUGAAAAUGAUUUUGGCUCAUAUUAGUCUUAAUAAAGAAGAAUUAAUAUUUAGGAUCAUAAAGUGAUCCCUUUUUUAUGAAAUUCUUAUUUAUUUCUGACAAAAAAUCUUAAAGAUAACAAGACAACUGAAGAGAAAAUUCCUCCAAACAUACAUAAAAACCAUGACAACAAAAAUGAAAAUGAGCCAAAGCAUUUCUUGAUUACAAAUUCUUGGGACAUAACAGAUUCGAAAAUCUUACUUUGAUACAGGUAAGUGUUAGAGAUUAGAAAUAAUAUGAAACAACUAUGUAUGAGUAUGAUGGAUACCCUAAAUCAGCUAAACAACGCACAACAUAGUCAUCCUAAUCUUAUUAAAGGGAUGUAUCUUCGACAACUUAUUUGAUCUCUUAUGCUGUGGGGGCCAAAUUCAUUUAUGUGGGGGAAAUUUGUGAACUAUGACCUUCAAAUUCUUGUACGUGUAAGGUAAGAACUCUCGUCUAAAAGCCUUGUUUUAUUAGGUGAUUAUUGACAUAGACAAAUAAAAUAUAGCAAUUGAUUAGUGAUUACGACAAUGUUGAUGCGUAAUCAAAUAGAAUAUUUAUGAUUUUUUUAUGCUCAUCGGAUGUUAAUAAGAUAAGAAUCGCGAUGAAAAGUUCAUCAAUGUAUAUGGUACGCAUGUUGAUAGAGGACAAAAACAUUGUUUGAAAUUAAUAUUUUUUUGGGUUUAAAGGUAUUGGACUUUUCUUCUUUGACUAUGGAUAGUAGUUUUUUUUGGAAUCAAAUACAGUAUGAUUAUUUGAACAUAUUAAAAUACUCAAUAAACAUGUUUACUAAAAUACUCUUAUUAAAGAUUUCUCUCAUUGUUUCUUUUUCAACCCUCCAUCCACUCUUAAUUCUCUCCCAUCUUUUAUCUGCCAGUAUUGUCUUAUCUAGAAUAGAAAUUUAGGCUAUGGACAUCUAGUAAUAAAAAUUUAAAAACUUAAAUAAAAAAUGAAAAAAUGAGUCUAAUGAGCAAUUUUAUGGGUUCAAAUAAUUAAUUCCGCCUACUCAAGUGCCAGUAUUGUCCUAUCUAUAAUAUAAAUUUAGGCUAUGGACAUUCUAGUAAUAAAAAUUUAAAAACUUAAAUAAAAAAUGAGUCUAAUGAGUAAUUUUAUGGGUUCAAAUAAUUAAUUCCUUCUACUCAAGUAUUAUUCUUUUAUUUCUGGAUAAUAGUAACAAAGUACGAUUUCAAAGAUAACAAUUCAGAUGGGUAGGAAAGUCUUCCAAUAAAUAUUAGAUAUUUAAAUUAGUAGUUUGAAGAUAAAAUACUAGUAGGAUCAUGGAGCGGGGACAUGACUGGAUUAGCAACAAUGUUUUUUAAAAGGUAGAGAUGUGGGUAAAAAUUAAAAUGCUUUUUUAAUAUUUAACAUCAAUUAAAUAAGACUUCUUAAAAAGUAGUUGGCUAGAUCCUGGAGGUGAUUACCUGCAAAAUUCAUUACAUUGAUGAAGGAGUAUCUAAUUAGCAGAUUUGAUAUUACUCCUAUAGUUAUAGGAUGGAUAAAAGUAUUAAUUGGAAAAAAGUGUUAAUGGAGAAUAAAUGGUGGAUAUCAUUAUGUGGCUCGAACUCAUAUGCAGAUACGCUAUUACUGCACUCGCAUGAAGUGAAAAUAGAUUUGUUGGACAUCCCUUAUUCAUAUUUUUUCUCAUUAGUCAUAAUUGUCCCAUAGACAAUAACAAAUGUAGGAUUUUAAAAUGAAUAAAAAAGGUUCUUUUCAAUAAUCUCAUAUUUACAAAUUUUAUUUUCUUUUAGUGUUUCCAAAAAAGAGAAACAUGUAAAAAAUAUAUAUUAGCUUGUUAUACGAUUCUUUUUGGUCAAGUAGUGACAGUGCUUCAUAUGUGGCUCGAACUCAUACGCAGAUACGCUAUUAUAAAUUGCAAUCCUACCUAUAAUUAGGUUGAAUGACCAAAUGAAGAUACAAUAAUCUUGAACUCACAUAUAAAAUUGUAACAGUAGGAACAAAUAAUGUGAAACAUUAAACCAAACAAUAUUCAGUCAUAGUUCAAGGUAUACAUUUAUAAAAAAAAAAAAAAAGCACAAUAAACAUCGAUUAUUUUCAUGAAAAUAGCCACAUAUAACCAACAGUAAGGUUACUUAUUAUUUUAAAUAUUAUUUCGUGAAACAGCUGCAGCUACAUAGCUGACCAACACAACAGUAGCUUGUUAUUUCCAAACACAAGAGGAAUAAACACACAAAAGCAGCAAAAGGCAUGAAUGCAGCUUCUUCAAGUUGAGUAACUAUAGCUAGCAAUUGAAGAAGCAGAAGCAGGCAAAACCAAGACCAUCUCUGUGGCAAGCACCGCUACUUGCACCCUCGCGUUCUCGGCACUGUUUAUCACAGUCUUCUGUUACGAAGCACGGGCCAGUCCAAGUCUUACUACGCCGCUCGCAUAGUGCAGCCUCUGCCGGCUUUGCCAUUUCUGUAAUACACAACACUUACACAAAAUGAUUAAUUUCUAGUUAAUUAAAUUUUAUAAUGCAUGCGUGCUUGCACAAACUUAUCAUCAUGAAGUACACAUCAAUGUCACUCACCGAACGAAGCGAAGAUGAUGAAGAAUGCAAAAAGAAGAGCAAAAGUCAUUGUAAAGCCAGAAACAGAUUUAGCCAUUUUAAUUUUUAUUUGUUGCACUUGCUGAACUGGUUUAUUAUUUCAUGAAAAUGGUAAGUGACCGUAGCCCCAAUUUAUACACUUGCAAUGUAAGCUAUCCCUUCCCUUUUUGAGAAAGUUUCGAUGAAAUUUUUAGACCUUACUAGUUUUUUAAUGUAUCGAUAAAGUGCAAGGUUUAAUUGUUGUUUUGUAUUAGUUCUUGUCCUCAUGUUUUUUUUCAUUGAUUCCAAGGAAAUAUGCCCAUAUAUAUUCACCUUGUUUCCCAUGUUUAUGUUUUGAAAUUAACGCCGUUUGUUAAAUUUAUAAGUUUAUUAUGAUAAACACGUACAUGCAUGUAUCGAAUUUACAAAAUACAUUAAUUUUUAAAUAAACAUAUGAUUUUAAACUUCCUAUACGUGCACAAUAUGGUUGGCUAUUCGGUAACCAUCUCCCACGUUGGGAAUAUGUAAACAACAAAUAUAUCAGUACCAACAAAGACAGAUAAGUAUUUUCAGCCGAUGUGGCAAACAAGGUUGUGAGGCCAAAAUAAAAUAUUUACAAAGUAAUGAGGUAAAAUUGUAAAAUUUAAAAAUAGUUAAAUUUUAUAAUUUUAUAAUUAUUUUCAAAUCUUUUUUUUUACGUUGCUUUCUAAAAAAUUUCAAAAAGUAAGCCGGGGGUUACCUUGAUUUUUUUUUUUUUGGUUUUUUUUAACUUUAAAAUUUCAAAGAUAAGUUAGGGUUGCCUUGAAAGCCUUUGCUAUAGGUUGCAUUACUUUUGAAAAAUUUUCAAAAAGUCAGGGGUCACCUUGCGCAAACGCUCUUCCUCUUCUAUAUUUAUAUUAAUCUCGAACUUACUUCAAUAUAUAUCUAGUUUGCCUAUCAAGUGAUAACAUAACAUCACUGCUACAAUAAUCCUAAACUUUCAUACUGUUGGGUGUGGGUACAUGGAGAUACAUCAACAAUGGUACAAUGAAACUUCAUCGGGGCCAGACCAAUAACUUAAUUAUAUCUAGGAUGUAAUGGGAGGGGAAAAAAAUUCGAUCCUACACAAAUAAUUUAUCAUCAUGUGUUAAGUGACGAUUGACUUUAUUAAUUAUUGGUGCAAAAUUAAUAUGCCAAGCACAAAUGAUUAACUGAGAUACAAAAUCUUGGUUCUCCACUGCGUGUGUAUGUUAUACCAUGUAAUGUUGUUAUCACCACCCAAAACUCUCUCCGAAUUAAGUAGGUACAGGCUCUAAUUCAUCACAAGAUUAUUACUGCACUCAAAUGAAGUGAAAAUAGAUUUGUUGGAUAUCCCUUAUUCAUAUUUUUUCUCAUUAGUCAUAAUUGUCCAAUAGACAAUAACAAAUGUAGGAUUUUAAAAUGAAUAAAAAAGUUCUUUUCAAUAAUCUCAUAUUUACAAAUUAUAUUUUCUUUUAGUGUUUCCAAAAAAGAGAAACAUGUAAAAAAUAUAUAUUAGCUUCUUAUACGACUCUUUUUGGUCAAGUGAUAGUGCUUCAGGUAAUUUUUAUAAAUAAAAUUAAGUUUUGUUUCAAAUAAGCACUCCCCCUACCCCCCCCAAAAAAAAGAAGGGGAGAAGGCAAAACCCAGAUUGAUUUCUUAACAGUUACUUUUCUCAAAAUCCAGACUCAAGCGGUCGGCCAAAGAAAUUUGCAUAAAAACCACUCGGUCAAGCCCUUAGGGCUCAUUGAGUACUCAUUGAUGGCAAUAUAAUUAAUUAAUUCUAAUGUGACCAAGUCAUUUGCACGUGAGAGAAACUGAAUGUUAAUUAUAUUUCACCAGCAACUAUAUUUUGUUAUUUUAUAUUAUUAAGUCCCAAGAUGGUUAUGUUUCAUACACAUUUAACUAAUUAAGAACAUAAUAAAUACUUAUAUGGAAUAAACAAUUUUCAUAAUAGUACAUGAAUGUUCAUUCCUGAUGCUUGCGUAUCAUAGUAAUAUAAAUAGCGUGAAGAGAUGGAGUAAUAACUUAUAAUUAGAUUUGUAGAGUGUGGCUGAUUAUAUUAGAAUAACACAAACAAGCAAUACAACAAAGACCCAACAAACAUUGACUCGUUCCUUAUUCAGAAGCUACGUACGGUAUAGUUAUGGCUAACCGUACACCGUACGUAGCUUGUUAUUGUUCUAAACACAAGACGACUGAAACGAGACACAUCACACGAACGACAGCAAAUAAUUAAGGUAGCCACAGCUAGCUUUCGCUGCUAACGAUGGAUAUAAUUUCUGUCAUUGAUAAGCAACUAGCACUUGAAGUAACAGAAGCACGCAUAACCAGUUCCUUGUCUGUAGCAAGCCCCGUACCUUGCAUACUCCUGCUGCUUGCAGUGCCUGCUACAUUUCCCCGUGUUGAGACACGGCCCCGACCAUGUCUUGCUACGCCGCUGGCACACUUUUGCUUCCGCCAUUAGCACUUCUGUAACAAGCAUACAAAAUCAUUAACGUGCACUUAGAUAUAUAAGUUAUUAUCAAAGCUCAUGGGUGUCAACAAAUUCAGGUGGUAAAAUGAUCUCUUAGGUUGAAACAAGAAGUCUGAGGUUUAAACUCUGCUUACAUGAAUGGAAGAGUGCUUUAUAUUACAAUAUACCAGUAUACAAACACACACACACACACACUAAAAUCUGAAAUAAAAAAAAAAUUGUUAUGAAAGUUUAAUAUGCAUGCAUAUGAAACAUAUAUAUGAUUUUGCUUCCCCUCUGGCAUUUCUGUAACACAUACACAGCAUAUUUAAUGCACUCAGUUAGCUAAUAUUAGUUAGGCACGUGGGCUUAUGAAUGGUAUUUAGUGUCAGCCUCAUGCGCAAGUAUGCCCUCAUCGAUUAAGAGCAGUUAUUCAAGAAAACUUCAACUAUAAACUAACUUUUUGAGUAUGAGUUAGGCUCAAGUCUUUUUGAAAAUGCACAACUUAAUAUCAUAGGCAAAACUUAAAAUUAAAUUUUGAUUGCUGAAAAACUAUUAAGUACUGGUUAACAUCAAGUCACUCACCGAAGGAAGCAAAGAGUAUGAAGAACGCAAAAAUAAGAGCAAAAGCUGUGGUAAUGCUAGCAACUGACUUAGCCAUUUUUGCACUUGCUUUGGUUUUAAUUUGAUGAAAUUGCUGAAGGCCCCAACCCCUAUUUAUACUUGGAUAUAAGCUGUCUCUUCGUCUCUAGCCAAGAUCCGCGAGAGACAAAGAAACAAUAAAUUAAUUAACCGGGGAAAUUUGAAUUAGACACUAAAAAAUGAAUUCACGCUCGGAUUAUUUGUUGAAAAGUCAGAAGCAAAUGCCAACUUUGCAACUGUUAGCAUGAAGGCUUUGGAGAAGCAAAAUCCAAUUUGGUUUUUGUUAGCCGAAAAGAAAGAAUGGAAAAAGGGGAUGUAUUGAAAAUAAUAAUAAUUAUUUAUUAUAUUUUCAAUUAUUUUAUUCUUUGCAUAGUGCCAACAUUUUUCCUAUAAAUAGCUUAGGAUUUCAUUCAUUUAAAAUCAUCCCAAAAUUGUUAAGCUUAUAAGUUUCUAAGCUUUUGAGAGAAGUGAGAGAAGUGUGUCUGGGGAAUUUAUCUUUCCUGCAGAGUGUGAGAGUACUGGGUAUAUUUGGGUUUCUAGGAAGUGAGAUUCGUUGUUCAAAUAUUGUAUUCUAUUAAUUGUUAAAUAAAAAAUUAUUCUUUCUUGCCUCCGUGGAUGUAGGUUUAAUUACCGAACCACGUAAAUUCUUGUGUCCUUUAUUUUUCAGUAAUUUUUGGUGCGCUUGAUUCCACAUUCCGCGCACAACAAGUGGUAUCAGAGCCGACGGUUCGUACUUGGGGGGAUACGGUACUGUUCACGUAUACGGUACUAUUCCCGUAUACGGUACUGUUCACGAACACGGUGGAGACAGCCAUUUGUACUUGGGAGACAGUCUAUUGUAAGUAGUGUGUAUUUUUGCAUGUCUAGGAAAGUUCUGUCAACAAAGGCGAUAAGAGUCUAAGGAUUCUGGUUUUUAAUUGGGACCGAGUUCCCGUCCAGUUUCCUGGGAACUUUCCUGGUGCAUUUAUUCACGCGAAAUUAACAUCAUAGAGGCUAUUUUUCAAGUGGAAAUAGUUCGUUGAAAAAAUGGUAGAAGGUGAAACUUCCAGAAUUGUGGAGAGAUCUACCGAGACUAUUUCAGGAGACACUUCAGAUGGGAUGCGAGAUUUGUCAAAUCGCUAUUCAGCACCUGUUAUAGGAGGCCAGAAGAUCGAUGUUGAAAAGUUUGAUGGGAAAAUCAACUUCGGCAUGUGGAGGCGCGAAGUUAUGGAUGCCCUUAUUCAAAUCGAUCUCGAUGUUGUCCUGAAAAAUAAAAGACACUUGUAUGAUGAAGAAAUUUGGGUACGUAGGCAGUCGGAUAGAUGCAGUCAAUGUGGAUCCUUUUGAGGAUCAUGUGAGGGGUGAAGUUUGGCAGAUCAUUGUCAAUCGGCUCAGAUUUGGAUAAAUUUUCGCCGAGGUGGAGAAUUGUUGAAAAGUCAGAAGCAAAUGCCAACUUUGCAACUGUUAGCAUGAAGGCUUUGGAGAAGCAAAAUCCAAUUUGGUUUUUGUUAGCCGAAAAGAAAGAAUGGAAAAAGGGGAUGUAUUGAAAAUAAUAAUAAUUAUUUAUUAUAUUUUCAAUUAUUUUAUUCUUUGCAUAGUGCCAACAUUUUUCCUAUAAAUAGCUUAGGAUUUCAUUCAUUUGAAAUCAUCCCAAAAUUGUUAAGCUUAUAAGUUUCUAAGCUUUUGAGAGAAGUGAGAGAAGUGUGUCUGGGGAAUUUAUCUUUCCUGCAGAGUGUGAGAGUACUGGGUAUAUUUGGGUUUCUGGGAAGUGAGAUUCGUUACUCAAAUAUUGUAUUCUAUUAAUUGUUAAAUAAACAAUUAUUCUUUCUUGCCUCCGUGGAUGUAGGUUUAAUUACCGAACCACGUAAAUUCUUGUGUCCUUUAUUUUUCAGUAAUUUUUGGUGCGCUUGAUUCCGCAUUCCGCGCACAACAUUAUUGACAAAAAAUUUUACAGUUUAUGCAAAUAAUUGUGAAUUAGAAUGACGUCCUGCCAAUUGCUAUAUUAUAUGCACUCUGAAGUAGUCUUAAGUAGUUGAAAUCUUCAAGUUUAAAUAUAAUACGCAAUGCGAACUUCAAUGACCCAUUCUUCCCCAUAACCUUGUCAUUGACAAAAGAUUUUACAGUUUAUUCAGAUAAUUGUGAAUUGAAAUAGUGUCCUGCCAAGUGCUCUAUUUCAUUAUUUCAUAUGCACUCUGAAGUAGUCUUAGUUAAAAUCUUAAAAUUUAAAUAUCAUAUCCAAUGCCCGACUUCAAUGACCCAUUCUUCCCUAUAACCUUGUUAAACCACCCUAUCGGAUUCUGUAUAUUCUAUUUAUUGUGUGGUUAAUUGUUCUUAUCAAUCGGAUCUAUGACAUACAGCGCUUCAUCUACGUAGCAAAAUGAUGGUGCAAGUAUCAUUUUCUAUUGCUAUAAACAGAAAAUUAAACGUUUUAUUCAUACUAUUACUUUUAUAAGUUUUAUGUAAACUUUUAAAGACCACAUUGAAAAGAUAAAUUCACUCUUGUUAUCAUUCAAUUUAGCUUAAGGUCAAUUUAUACCAGAAUAUUGAGAAGAUAGAAAGAACUUAAACAAUCAUACUAAAUAGGGGAUUUCUUCCAUAUUUUUAAUACUAUAAUGUCGAUGAUACGUACUAUGUUUACAUUCAAUGAUGAAAAUGAUUUUGGCUCAUAUUAGUCUUAAUAAAGAAGAAUUAAUAUUUAGGAUCAUAAAGUGAUCCCUUUUUUAUGAAAUUCUUAUUUAUUUCUGACAAAAAAUCUUAAAGAUAACAAGACAACUGAAGAGAAAAUUCCUCCAAACAUACAUAAAAACCAUGACAACAAAAAUGAAAAUGAGCCAAAGCAUUUCUUGAUUACAAAUUCUUGGGACAUAACAGAUUCGAAAAUCUUACUUUGAUACAGGUAAGUUUUAGAGAUUAGAAAUAAUAUGAAACAACUUUGUAUGAGUAUGAUGGAUACCCUGAAUCAGCUAAACAACGCACAACAUAGUCAUCCUAAUCUUAUUAAAGGGAUGUACCUUCGACAACUUAUUUGAUCUCUUAUGCUGUGGGGGCCAAAUUCAUUUAUGUGGGGGAAAUUUGUGAACUAUGACCUUCAAAUUCUUGUACGUGUAAGGUAAGAACUCUCGUCUAAAAGCCUUGUUUUAUUAGGUGAUUAUUGACAUAGACAAAUAAAAUAUAGCAACUGAUUAGUGAUUACGACAAUGUUGAUGCCUAAUCGAAUAGAAUAUUUAUGAUUUUUUUAUGCUCAUCGGAUGUUAAUAAGAUAAGAAUCGCGAUGAAAAGUUCAUCAAUGUAUAUGGUACGCAUGUGGAUAGAGGACAAAAACAUUGUUUGAAAUUAAUAUUUUUUUGGGUUUAAAGGUAUUGGACUUUUCUUCUUUGACUAUGGGUAGUAGUUUUGUUUGGAAUCAAAUACAGUAUGAUUAUUUGAACAUAUUAAAAUACUCAAUAAACAUGUUUACUAAAAUACUCUUAUUAAAGAUUUCUCUCAUUGUUUCGUUUUCAACCCUCCAUCCACUCUUAAUUCUCUCCCAUCUUUUAUCUGCCAGUAUUGUCUUAUCUAGAAUAGAAAUUUAGGCUAUGGACAUCUAGUAAUAAAAAUUUAAAAACUUAAAUAAAAAAUGAAAAAAUGAGUCUAAUGAGCAAUUUUAUGGGUUCAAAUAAUUAAUUCCGCCUACUCAAGUGCCAGUAUUGUCCUAUCUAUAAUAUAAAUUUAGGCUAUGGACAUUCUAGUAAUAAAAAUUUAAAAACUUAAAUAAAAAAUGAGUCUAAUGAGUAAUUUUAUGGGUUCAAAUAAUUAAUUCCUUCUACUCAAGUAUUAUUCUUUUAUUUCUGGAUAAUAGUAACAAAGUACGAUUUCAAAGAUAACAAUUCAGAUGGGUAGGAAAGUCUUCCAAUAAAUAUUAGAUAUUUAAAUUAGUAGUUUGAAGAUAAAAUACUAGUAGGAUCAUGGAGCGGGGACAUGACUGGAUUAGCAACAAUGUUUUUUAAAAGGUAGAGAUGUGGGUAAAAAUUAAAAUGCUUUUUUAAUAUUUAACAUCAAUUAAAUAAGACUUCUUAAAAAGUAGUUGGCUAGAUCCUGGAGGUGAUUACCUGCAAAAUUCAUUACAUUGAUGAAGGAGUAUCUAAUUAGCAGAUUUGAUAUUACUCCUAUAGUUAUAGGAUGGAUAAAAGUAUUAAUUGGAAAAAAGUGUUAAUGGAGAAUAAAUGGUGGAUAUCAUUAUGUGGCUCGAACUCAUAUGCAGAUACGCUAUUACUGCACUCGCAUGAAGUGAAAAUAGAUUUGUUGGACAUCCCUUAUUCAUAUUUUUUCUCAUUAGUCAUAAUUGUCCCAUAGACAAUAACAAAUGUAGGAUUUUAAAAUGAAUAAAAAAGGUUCUUUUCAAUAAUCUCAUAUUUACAAAUUUUAUUUUCUUUUAGUGUUUCCAAAAAAGAGAAACAUGUAAAAAAUAUAUAUUAGCUUGUUAUACGAUUCUUUUUGGUCAAGUAGUGACAGUGCUUCAUAUGUGGCUCGAACUCAUACGCAGAUACGCUAUUAUAAAUUGCAAUCCUACCUAUAAUUAGGUUGAAUGACCAAAUGAAGAUACAAUAAUCUUGAACUCACAUAUAAAAUUGUAACAGUAGGAACAAAUAAUGUGAAACAUUAAACCAAACAAUAUUCAGUCAUAGUUCAAGGUAUACAUUUAUAAAAAAAAAAAAAAAGCACAAUAAACAUCGAUUAUUUUCAUGAAAAUAGCCACAUAUAACCAACAGUAAGGUUACUUAUUAUUUUAAAUAUUAUUUCGUGAAACAGCUGCAGCUACAUAGCUGACCAACACAACAGUAGCUUGUUAUUUCCAAACACAAGAGGAAUAAACACCCAAAAGCAGCAAAAGGCAUGAAUGCAGCUUCUUCAAGUUGAGUAACUAUAGCUAGCAAUUGAAGAAGCAGAAGCAGGCAAAACCAAGGCCAUCUCUGUGGCAAGCACCGCUACUUGCACCCUCGCGUUCUCGGCACUGUUUAUCACAGUCUUCUGUUACGAAGCACGGGCCAGUCCAAGUCUUACUACGCCGCUCGCAUAGUGCAGCCUCUGCCGGCUUUGCCAUUUCUGUAAUACACAACACUUACACAAAAUGAUUAAUUUCUAGUUAAUUAAAUUUUAUAAUGCAUGCGUGCUUGCACAAACUUACCAUCAUGAAGUACACAUCAAUGUCACUCACCGAACGAAGCGAAGAUGAUGAAGAAUGCAAAAAGAAGAGCAAAAGUCAUUGUAAAGCCAGAAACAGAUUUAGCCAUUUUAAUUUUUAUUUGUUGCACUUGCUGAACUGGUUUAUUAUUUCAUGAAAAUGGUAAGUGACCGUAGCCCCAAUUUAUACACUUGCAAUGUAAGCUAUCCCUUCCCUUUUUGAGAAAGUUUCGAUGAAAUUUUUAGACCUUACUAGUUUUUUAAUGUAUCGAUAAAGUGCAAGGUUUAAUUGUUGUUUUGUAUUAGUUCUUGUCCUCAUGUUUUUUUUCAUUGAUUCCAAGGAAAUAUGCCCAUAUAUAUUCACCUUGUUUCCCAUGUUUAUGUUUUGAAAUUAACGCCGUUUGUUAAAUUUAUAAGUUUAUUAUGAUAAACACGUACAUGUAUCGAAUUUACAAAAUACAUUAAUUUUUAAAUAAACAUAUGAUUUUAAACUUCCUAUACGUGCACAAUAUGGUUGGCUAUUCGGUAACCAUCUCCCACGUUGGGAAUAUGUAAACAACAAAUAUAUCAGUACCAACAAAGACAGAUAAGUAUUUUCAGCCGAUGUGGCAAACAAGGUUGUGAGGCCAAAAUAAAAUAUUUACAAAGUAAUGAGGUAAAAAUGUAAAAUUUAAAAAUAGCUAAAUUUUAUAAUUUUAUAAUUAUUUUCAAAUCUUUUUCUUUUACGUUGCUUUCUAAAAAAUUUCAAAAAGUAAGCCGGGGGUUACCUUGAUUUUUUUUUUUUUUGGUUUUUUUAACUUUAAAAUUUCAAAGAUAAGUUAGGGUUGCCUUGAAAGCCUUUGCUAUAGGUUGCAUUACUUUUGAAAAAUUUUCAAAAAGUCAGGGGUCACCUUGCGCAAAAGCUGUUCCGCUUCUAUAUUUAUAUUAAUCUCGAACUUACUUCAAUAUAUAUCUAGUUUGCCUAUCAAGUGAUAACAUAACAUCACUGCUACAAUAAUCCUAAACUUUCAUACUGUUGGGUGUGGGUACAUGGAGAUACAUCAACAAUGGUACAAUGAAACUUCAUCGGGGCCAGACCAAUAACUUAAUUAUAUCUAGGAUGUAAUGGGAGGGAUCCUACACAAAUAAUUUAUCAUCAUGUGUUAAGUGACGAUUGACUUUAUUAAUUAUUGGUGCAAAAUUAAUAUGCCAAGCACAAAUGAUUAACUGAGAUACAAAAUCUUGGUUCUCCACUGCGUGUAUAUUAUACCAUGUAAUGUUGUUAUCACCACCCAAAACUCUCUCCGAAUUAAGUAGGUACAAGCUCUAAUUCAUCACAAGAUUAUUACUGCACUCGCAUGAAGUGAAAAUAGAUUUGUUGGAUAUCCCUUAUUCAUAUUUUUUCUCAUUAGUCAUAAUUGUCCCAUAGACAAUAACAAAUGUAGGAUUUUAAAAUGAAUAAAAAAGUUCUUUUCAAUAAUCUCAUAUUUACAAAUUAUAUUUUCUUUUAGUGUUUCCAAAAAAGUGAAACAUGUAAAAUAUAUAUAUUAGCUUGUUAUACGACUCUUUUUGGUCAAGUGAUAGUGCUUCAGGUAAUUUUUAUAAAUAAAAUUAAGUUUUGUUUCAAAUAAGCACUCCCCCCCCCCCCCAAAAAAAAAGAAGGGGAGAAGGCAAAACCCAGAUUGAUUUCUUAACGUUACUUUUCUCAAAAUCCAGACUCAAGUGGUCGGGCAAAGAAAUUUGCGUAAAAACCACUCGGUCAAGCCCUUAGGCCUCAUUGAGUACUCAUUGAUGGCGAUAUAAUUAAUUAAUUCUAAUGUUACCAACUCAUAGCAUAGUGAUCCUAAUCUUAUUAAAAGGAUGUAUCCUCGACAACUUAUUUGAUCUCUUAUGAUGUGGGUGCCAAAUUCAUUUAUGUGGGGAAAAUUUGUGAACUAUGACCUUUAAAUUCUUGUAUGUGUAAGGUACGAACACUUGUCUAAAAACAUUGUUUAUAAGGUGAUUAUUGACAUAGAUAAAUAAAUAUAGCAACUAAUUAGUGACUGCAACAAUGUUGAUGCCUAAUCAAAUAGAAUAUUUAUGAUUAUUUUUUUAUGCUCAUCGGAUUUAAUAAGAUAAGGAUCACGAUGAGAAGAUCAUCAAUGUAAAUGAUAUGCAUGUUGAUAGAGGACAAAAUCAUUAUUAGAAAUUAAUAUUUUUUGGGUUUAAAGGAUAUUGGAUUUUUCUUAGUUGACUAUGGAUAGUGACUUUUUUGGAAUCAAAUAUAGCAUGGUUAUUUAAACCCAUUAAAAUACUAAAUAAACCUAUUUACUAAAACACUCUUAUAAAAGAUUUCUCUCAUUGUUUCUUUUUCAAUCCUCCAUCCACUCUUAAUUCUCUCCAAUGUUUUAUCUGCUAGUAUUGUCUAAUCUAUAAUAGUAAUUUAGGCUAUGGACAUUCUAGUAAUGAAAAACUUAGAUAAAAAAUGAGUCUAAUGAGUAAUUUGAUGGGUUCAAAUAUUCUCACCUAAUCAAAUAUUAUUCUUUUAAUUCUGGAUAAUAGUAACAAAGUACGAUUUCAAAGAUAAUAAUUCAGAAGGUUAGGAAAGUCUUCCAAUGAAUAUUAGAUAUUUAAAUUAGUAGUUCGAAGAGAAAAUACUAGAAGGAUCAUGGAGUCGGGGACAUGGCUGGAUUGCCAGUAAUUUUUUUAAACAAUAGAGAUGCGGGUAAAAUUAAAAUAAUUUUAUCAAUUAAAUAAAACUACUUAAAAGCCAGUUAGCUAGAUCCUAGGGUGAUUACCUGCAAAAUUCAUUACUUUGAUUAAGGAGUAUCUAAUUAGCUGAUUUGAUAUUACGCGUAUGGUUAUAUGAUGGAUAAAAGUAUUAAUUGGAAAAAAAAGUUAAUGGAGAAUAAAUUAUGGAUAUCAUUAUGUGGCUCGAACUCAUACGCUAUUAUAAAUUACAAUCCUACUUAUAAUUAGGUUGAAUGACCAAAUGAAGAUAUAACAAUCUUAAAAUCACACAUAAAAUUGUAACAGUAGUAACAAAUAAAAGUGAAACAUUAAAUCAAACAAUAUUCAGUCAAAGUUAAAGGUGAAAAUACACAAUAAACAUUGAUUACUUUCAUGAAAAUAGCCACAUAUAACCAACAGCACGUUAAUUAUUAUUUUAAAUAUUAUUUCAUGACACAGCUGCAGCUACAUUGCUGUGACCAACACAACAGUAUCUUGUUAUUUCCCAACACAAGAGGAAUAAACACACAAAAGCAGCAAAAGGCAUGCAUGCAGCUUCUUCAAGUUGAGUAACUAUAGCUAGCAAUUGAAGAAGCAAAAGCAGGCAAAACCAAGACCAUCUCUGUG